Molecule: long non-coding RNA, 65282 nt
Filed under: Hordeum vulgare
Lineage: Eukaryota; Viridiplantae; Streptophyta; Magnoliopsida; Poales; Poaceae
Description: long non-coding RNA (HVUL_LNC010584)
Source: RNAcentral
GACUUACACUUAGUCACAUUGCUUGCAAGGCUUGUGUGUGAUGUUGUAUUACCGAGUGGGCCCCGAGAUACCUCUUCGUCACACGGAGUGACAAAUCCCAGUCUUGAUCCAUACUAACGCAAAGGACACCUUCGGAGAUACCUGUAGAACACCUUUAUAGUCACCCAGUUACGUUGUGACAUUUGAUGCACACAAGGUAUUCCUCCGGUGCCAGUGAGUUAUAUGAUCUCAUGGUCAUAGGAAUAAAUACUUGACACGCAGAAAACAGUAGCAAUAAAAUGACACGAUCAAUAUGCUACGUUCAUAGUUUGGGUGUAGUCCAUCACAUGAUUCUCCCAAUGAUGUGAUCCAGUUAUCAAGCAACAACACUUGCACAUAGUCAAAAAACUGUGACUAUCCUUGAUCAACUAGCUAGCCAACUAGAGGCUUGUUAGGGACAUUGUUUUUUCUAUGUAUCCACACAUGUAUCUAUGUUUUCAUUCAAUACAAUUAUAGCAUGGAUAAUAAACAAUUAUAUUUAAACAGGAAAUAUAAUAAUAACUAUGUAUCAUUGCCUCUAGGGCAUAUUUCCAACAGCUUACACCGGGAGGAAGCUUCAAGUCAUAAAUCGGUGUGUUUGGAUCUUCGUACCAGAGGUCGAUGAAGUCCAGCAAUACCUUUGGGUCCAUUGCAAGAGGAAUGGAGCUGUUGGAGGCUUGUGCAACAUGUUCUUGUUUGUUUCUGAUAAUUGCUUGUAGUGUUUCAUCAUCAAAUUCUUCACUUCCUUCUGAUGCAGAAGGAACGUUGAUGAUUUUGUUUGGACUUGGCCUUGUACCUCUACCGGCAGUCAUCUUAUUCUUCAAAAGACUUGGUGAAGACUUUGAGGCAGAGCGAGCAGCGGAUGGCACAAUGGAACUAGGUUGUUCAGAUUGAAUUUUAUUGAGCUGCUUUUGCGGAGGAGGUGCGGACUAUUUUGUAGUUAAUGAUUUUGUAGUUGGUGCAACUUUCUGAGGUAAUUGUUGUUUUGACACAGCAGUUGAAGCUUCUAAUCUCUUUAUCAGAGUCUUCUUCUAAGGAAUUGCAGUAGCAGAAGCCUCAACAGCUGAAGAAGUGGCAGCAGUGGCUGCAGCAGGAGAAUCCUCAUUGAAUUUCUUUACAACUGCUUCUGCCUUUUUCUGCAACUUAGACAAGUAUUUGUCUUUCUCAUCAGGAUAAUCCUCAAUCAAGGCUACACUUGAGGGAUGAGCUGCUUGUUGAUCACCUUGUGGAGGCCUUUUGCAGGGUGGCUUGAGGUCGAACUUCUUUGCAUAUUUCAGAGUCACAUAUCUGUACUCCUUCCACUCUUUAGCCCACCCGCGCUCAAUCUUUUGAGCCUUAUUUUGCGCUUCGCCAUUGUCUCUUUAUGAUGUAUUUCUUCAUCAGGUAUACAGUAGUCAGCAUAUAUUUCUUCAGGGAUCUCAAAAGCAGUAUUCUGCUCCAGUUUCUUGCCACCUUUUUGUUUCCGAUCUUCUUCCAUUUUCUUCAACCGAGGUUUUUGCUAAGGAAUUUGAAUUCUUGAUGAUUCUGAAGACACAAGUAAAGUUUCUUCGAGAAAUGCCGCAAAUGAGUUAAGUUGAUGAUAACCUAGAGAUUCAUCAGCUGGCAUUUUGUACCUGUGAACAGAGUAUAGGUGCGAAGAAUUUGGAGAGGUCAUAUGUGUUCUCAGAUUUGAGGAAAUUGAAAAAAUUUAAAAGUUGAGGAAUUUGAUGAGUGAGUUGAGGAAUUUGACUAAGCAUUCCGAUCUUGGCUUCCAGAGGUGUGCAGAUUCGAAAAUUUACACAAUUGAGGAUUCUCGUGAAGAAUUUUAGUUACUUAGUGAAAUUCAUCUAGUGUUCUAGGCAGGAGUGUGCACAGCUGAGGAAAUUUCUGAGGAAAAACAGAUUUCACGAAUCUACCGUGAAAUAAAAGAUGAACAGGGGCAGUAAAAUAAGAUUUUAUUUACCCUGUGCGAAGAACACAAUGAACUGAGGGAGUAAAAAGAAGUUCUUCGGUUCAGAUCUUCAGUGCCCUUACUUGGCGACUGAAAACAGCUAUGGCAGCGGCGGAGCAAGAUAUUCCGCUGUCGGCGUGAGUCCCGCGACGGUGAGGGCGAGGUAGUGAAACUUUUCCUCACCGGCGGCGAAGAUGUUAGCGGCAGCGCUAGGGUUCGAGCUCGAGCGGAGAAGACGAGAGGGGAAGAAGAGUUUUGACUGAGGGGGGGGGUUAAGGGGCUACUUAUAGCUCAGGUGAAAAACUGUUCGGGCCAAAACUGUUUGCCCCUUCAUCUCCGCUUGACACGUGGUGUCCACGAUUGAGGAGGUGUAGAUCCUGGUUAUGCGAACGUGAGUAGUGGGUGCGGUUACUAUUACAACGGUUAAAAAAUGAAUUUUGAGGAUUUCGUUUCAAAGUCCUCAGCUGACCAUGACUCAGUGAGUAUUUUGAACAAGUGUCAAACAGAACACAUAUGAAGAAUUGAGAAUAGACUUGAUUGAGCUUAGCAUAGAGCAGAGUCGGGUCCGAUCACAUUCACUUAGAUGAAAUAUCAAAUUGAGGAUUGAGCUAUAAGCGAAUGCUGUUGAGGACUUGAAAGCUAAUUAUAUUGUAUAUAUACCGAAAUGAAAAUCAUCAAAAAAAAUUGAAGAAUUUGAAAAUUUUGAAGAUUUUGAAAAUUUUAGGAUUUUGUGACAAAGUCUCAGAUUGUAUACUUUCAACUUUGAAGAAAAGCGAGCUUGAAUAAUUUCAAAGUUGGGUGGUGGCGCGACCCACCGUAUAAAAAUGAUGAUUUCAGGCGCCGCGUACAAUUGUCGUAGGGCCCUGAGAACCAAAUUCUUCAUUGAUUUGUUCACACUUAGAGUGAUUUUCGUCAUUGGUUGAGGAAAAUUGUUACUUUGUGUGUUGCACAACUAAGUCAUCAAUUUCUCAUAAGUGUUAGGAUGUGUGCAGGUUUACAAGACAUUCGAAGAUUAUAGGAUAUUUAGCUCACACCGCAACUUGCAAAACCUUCUCUCAUCCAAGGGCUUUGUGAAAAUAUCUACUAGUUGAUCAUCAGUAUUCACAUGGUCGAUGAUGAUAUUGCCUUUGAGGACAUGAUCAUGAAGAAAAUGAUGACGGGUUUGGAUGUGCUUGGUCUUCGAGUGUUGUACAGGGUUGUAGGUGAUCUUGAUUGCAGUCUCAUUGUCGCAGUAGAGGGGCACAUUCUUCACGUUGAUCCUGUAGUCUCUGAGGGUUUGCUUCAUCCGUAGCAGUUGAGCACAACAAGAUCCAGCAACAAUGUACUCAGCUUCGAUAGUGGAAAGUGAUACACAGUUCUGCUUCUUUGAGGACCAGCAAACUAAUGAUCUUCUGAGGAAAUGGCAUGUGCCUGAUGUUGACUUGCGAUCCACAUGGUCACCAACAUAAUCAGAAUCAGAAUAUCCGACGAGGUGAAGAUUUGAGACCUUGGGGUACCAUAAUCCUAGUGUUCGUGUGUGAGCUAAGUAUCGAAGAAUAUGUUUCACAGCCUUAUGAUGUGAUUCCUUCAGUUUUGCUUGAAAACGAGCACACAUGCAAACACUAAGCAUAAUAUCUGCCUAGAUGCACAUAGGUACAAUAAAGAGCGAAUCAUAGAACGAUAUACCUGCUAAUCGAAAUCUUUACCAUUUUCGUCAGUGCAGAGGUGGUCGUUGGUAGGCAUAGGAGUCUUGACGCCUUUGCAUUCAUGCAUGUAAAAUUUCCUCAGAACAUCCUUGAGGUAUUUCUCAUGAGAUAUGAAGAUGCCAUUGCGUUGUUGACAAAUUUGCAGACCUAAGAAGAAUUUCAGCUCCUCCAUCAUACACAUUUGAUAUUCUACACUCAUCAUGUAGGCAAAUUCAUCACUAUAACGUUUGUCCGUACAACCAAAAAUAAUGUCGUCGACAUAUAUUUGGCACACAAAUAGUUCAUUAUCAUAGGAUUUUGUGAAAAGAGUAGGAUCAAGUGAACCAGGUUUGAAGCAUUUCUUCAUGAGGAAUUCCUUCAGUGUGUCAUACCACGCCCGAGGGGCUUGCUUGAGGCCAUAGAGUACCUUUUUGAGUCUGAAGACUUUGUCUGGAUGCUUUGGAUCUUCAAAACGUGUAGGCUCGGCAACAUAUACUUAUUCCCCAAGCUUACCAUUGAGGAAUGCACUUUUCACAUCCAUUUGAUAUAGACUUAUAUUGUGAUGAUUAGCAUAAGCAAGUAAUAUUCGAAUAGCUUCAAGUCUAGCAACAUGUGAAAAAGUUUCAUCGAAGUCAAUUCCUUCAACCUAUGUGUAGCCUUGGGCUACAAGCCGUGCCUUAUUCCUCACUACCUGACCAUCCUCAUCUUGCUUGUUUUGGUACAUCCACUUUGCGCCGAUGAUAUUGUGCUUGCGAGGAUCUGGUCAUUUCAACUGAAGAAGUUCAUCUAGCUUGAACUGAAGAAGUUCAUCUUGCAUGGCUUGAAUCCACUCAGGUUCCAUGAAGGCUUCAUCAACUUUUGAGGGUUCUGUGAUAGACACAAAUGAGGAACACCCACAAAGUUUAACUAAAUGUGAAGCUUUUGAGCGAGUGAGAGGACCUGGCACAUUAAUGUCAUCGAGGAUUUUGUCAAGUUCUACUUCAUUAGCAAUCCUCGGAUGAGCUGGUUGAUGACUUUGGUUGAGCUGCGGAAUUUGAUUUGUAGCAUUUUCCUGGGGUGCACCAGUUUCAUUUUUCUCAGUGUUGGGGAUGAUUUGUUCAACAACGGGUUGUUCCUCAGUAGGAAUGAUAUCUUCAGUUGCCUUGAGCUUGAUGGCUUCCUCGGGAGGUAAUUUAUCUGGCACAGGAGGCAGUUGCUCUCUUUGCGAGCCAUUAGUUUCAUCGAACCGCACAUCAACAGUUGCAACAACCUUCUUGUGAUGGGUGUUGAAGACUCUGUAGGUGUGCGACUCCUUUCCGUAACCAAGCAUAAAACCCUCAUCUGCCUUAGGUGCAAACUUUGAGCUAUGGUGAGGAUCUCUAAUCCAGCAUUUUGCACCGAAGACUUUGAAAUAACUUACAUUGGGUUUCUUGUCAGUGAGAAGUUCAUAUGAGGUUUUCUUGAGGAAUUUGUGAAGAUAUACUCUGUUGAUGAUGUCGCAAGCAGUGUUGAUUGCUUCAGGCCAGAAACAACGAGGAGUCUGGUAUUCUUCAAGCAUAGUCCAAGCCAUUUCAACCACAGUCUUGUUCUUGCAUUCAACGACGCCAUUCUGUUGAGGAGUAUAAGGAGCAGAUAAUUCGUGAGUAAUACCAAGUUCAUCAACAUAUUCAUCAAGACUAGUGUUUUUGAAUUCUGUCCCACUAUCACUCCUGAUGUGUUCGAUCUUGACGCCGAAGUUCGUCGAGGCCCUUGAGGAAAAUCGUCUGAAGACUUCGUGCACUUCAGUUUUAUAUAGAAUGAAGCGUACCCAAGUAUAGCGAGAAUAGUCAUCAACAAUGAUAAAGCCAUAUAAAGAUGUUGCAUUGGUUAGAGUAGCAUAAUGAGUAGGUCCAAACAUAUCCAUGUGAAGCAAUUAAAACGGACGAGUAGUAGUCAUGAUAGUCUUCGAGGGGUGUUUGGAUCUGGUUAUUUUUCCAGACUUACAAGCACCGCAGAGACGGUCCUUGAGGAAUUUGACGGAUUUGAUGCCAAUGACAUGUUUCUUCUUCGCCAAGGUGUGCAAAUUCCUCAUGCCUGCAUGACCCAGACGUCGAUGCCAUAGCCAGCCUUCUAAGGUUUUUUCUAGUAAGCAUGUGGCUGGUUGUGGACAUGUGGAAAAUCAACAAUGUGCAAUUCUCCUCUCCUAAAGCCUUCGGAGACAUUGGAUUUGUCAGAUUCCAUGAUGACUACGCAUCUAUAUUUUCCAAAGAUAACUACCGUAUCAAGAUCACAAAGCAUUGAGACUGACAUGAUGUUAAACCCAAGGGAUUCGACAAGCAUGACUUUGUCCAUGUGCCUGUCCUUGGAGAUAGCCACUUUUCCAAGUCCCAAUACCUUGCUUUUACGUUUAUCAAUAUAAGUGAUUUGCUUCAGUGGUGAUGGAGUCACUGGCAUAUUCAUCAAUAAGCUUUUAUCACCAGUCAUGUGGUUUGUGCAACCACUGUCAAGAACCCACUCUGUAUUCUUGGAUUUCUCAUCCUACAGAUGAAUUAGUACAACUUACCAUCUCAUAUGCUUUAGACUUGAAGAAUAUGAUACCAAUUUCAUCAGAUAAGAAUUUUAUCAUCAACAGUAAAUUUGAGGACGUGUGAAAUGUUAUCAUUUCAUCAAGUUUAGCUUGCGUCCAAUCAAGCAUUUUCCUCAGGUCUCCAGCAAAUUCUUCAAAUGAUGACUUUCAUCUGGAGACGUGACGUGCAAAAGUGAUUAGUUCAAUUUCUUCACCACCCACAUCUGAAGGGGUGGCAAAGAGUUCAUCAUCCUACGAUUACCCUAUGAAAAUGAACGCAUUGAAACUAAAGUGCUUAUUUUCAAAGUAAGGGGAUUAGAGUACUCAAAUGAAUAGGCAGAGAAAUUAUUUGAGGACUUAUGAACAUAGUGUUUUGAGGAAUAACACUCAUAUUAAUCUCGACUGUAAUUUCUAUGCAUACCAGAUGCAUCAGCACGAGUAUAAGCAUAGUAUUGACCAUUUGAGGAUUUUAAUCCUCGUGAAGACUUUGGUCCACCUGAGGAAAUUGAUGUGGGUUUCUGGUUCUUCACAGGUGGUGCCAUGAGGAAAUUCACAAGAAGAUUUUCUAAGAAACUUGUGAGAACCGAGAUUUUCCUCAGGAGUGGUCCAUUCCUGCAGUUAGUUCCAACAUAUUGAGCAUAUACUUCACCAGAUUGAUUUUUGAACAGUUUAUAGUUGGAGUCAAAUGACUCAUCUGAGGAAUAGCAUAAUUCGCAUGCAAAGCCUGUUAAAGUGGAAGGAUCGACGGGAGGACCUUUAGCAACAACCCGUGAGGUUUUGGGGUACUGCUCAGGUUUCAAGUAUGAUCCAUCAGCAUUGAUUUUCCUCUCAAAGGCAAUUCCUUCUUUCCUCGGGUUCCUGUUCAAAAUCUGCUUUUUGAGCACAUCGCAAAGGGUUUGAUGCCCUUUGAGACUUUUGUAUAUGCCUGUCACAUACAAUUCCUUCAGCCCUGCAUUUUCGUUAGUAGCAUUUGUGGUUUCUUAAAGUGAAUAAUUUGAUACCACAGGGAUAGUUGAAGAAUUUGUAGCAAUAGACGCCUUUGAUGAUUCUGGUGAGGAAUUAGUAGUUUCACGCUCGAUGCAUUUCAAACAUGGUGGAAUGAAUUCAUCCCGAGCUGUACUGAUCUGUUGAGCAAGCAAUGAAUCGUUUUCCAUUCGAAGAUCAUCAUGAGACAUUUUCAACUUCUCAAGAUCAAGUUUCCUUUGAAGAAAUUCAUAGGAAAGUUUCUCAUGAUCAGCUAAAAGUGUGCCAUAACGAUCUUGAAGACUAUCAAACCUAGACUGAAGACUUUUCACAUCUUCAGUGAGGACUUGAGUACGAUUCAUUUCAUCAUUCAACAGAUCAUCGCUUCUGUCUAGCAGUUUUUGAAGCUUUUCAAUGGCACUUUGUUGCUUAGUGGCAAUGUUGGCAACUUUAGAGUAACUGGGUUUUUGAUAAUCAUAUGAUUCACACUCACUAGAAUGAGAGGAGGAAGUAUGGUCUGGUACCUUUGAACCUUUUGCCAUGAAGCAAUAGGUUGGAGCAAGGUCAUCAUCAUUUUCAUUAGUGUAGAUAGCGUUGUCAUUUUCUUCAAGGUUGAAGAUUGACUUGCUGACAAAGGUGGUAGCUAAUGCAAGACUUUCCACACCAGACUCCAAAUCCUCUUCAGAACCUUCCUCUUCAUCACAUUCCUCAGAUUCUUCUUCUGAAUCUAUUUCCUUCCCAAUGAGUGCCCGGGCCUUUCUAAAACCGGUCUUCUUGUGUGAUGAGGACUUUGAGGAUGAGGACUUUGAAGAUUUCUUUUUUUUCUUCGAGUCAUCAGAAUUUUCAUCCUUGUAUUUCUUCUUCUUUGAUUCCUUCACGCAGCAAGGACAAUCAGCAAUGUAGUGACUAGAUUUCUUGCAUUUGUGGCAGGUUCUUUUCUUGUAAUCCUCAGAUGAAGAUUCUGAUUUCCUCAUAUCUCUUCUUGAAGAUUUACCGAACUGCCAUGCCUUGUGAACUUCUGGAAUUUCCUCAUGAGCACAGAAAGUUCUUGUCCCAGUUCCUCAGGGUCACCAAUGCUAUAAUCUGAGUCUUCUUCUUCAUGUGAGGAAAUAGCCUUAGCCUUUAGUGCACGAGGUCUUGAGUAGCUUGGUCUAUAGAGUUCUCUCUUUUCUUCUUGUUGAAAUUCAUGAGUAUUGAGUCUCUCGAGUAUAUCAGCAGGAUCAAGCAUUUUGUAGUCUCUUCGUUCUUGAAUCAUCAGAACUAGUGUGUCAAAUGAUGGAUCAAGAGAUCUUAGCAGUUUCCUCAGAACGUCAUGGUCAGUGAUGUCUCUAGCUCACAAUGCUUGCAGUUCAUUUGAGAUGUCAGUGAGGCGGUCAAAGGUAUCUUGGCAGCUUUCUUUGUCAAGCCUCUUGAAGCAAUUGAAGAGAUUUCGAAGAACAUCAACAUGAGAAUCACGCUAUGUUGAGACUCCCUCAUUGACUUUGGACAACCUAUCCCAGAUAAGCUUAGCUAUGCCCAAAGCACCCACUCUGCCAUACUGACCUAUGCUCAGAUGGCCACAUACGAUAUUCUUCGCUUGUGAAUCAAGUUGCUUGAAUUUCUUCACAUCAGCGGCGGAGAUAGUAGCAGCGAUGGAGGGAAUACCACUUUCCACAAUAUACGAGAGAUCAUUGUCAAUAGCGUGAAGAUGCAUCUGCAUCUUGGUCUUCUACUAGGAAAGUCCUUUCCCUCGAAGGUAGGACAUCCUGUAGUAACCUUGAUCAUACCUGCAGUCGACAUAACUAAAACUCCAGGUGGUUAAACCAAAAUCACACAAAACAAGGGGGGGUGAAUAUGCGAUUUUGAGAAUUUCAUCACUCAGGAAAUUCCUUGUGAGGAAGUCCUCAACGAUGAACUUAGUGCAGCAGAAAUAGCACAAGAUCAGGAGUGCAAAAACGACUGCAGCAAAGUACUCGAUGAAGUUUAUGAGAUUCGUUUUGCACAGUUCGCAAGUACACAGUACGCAGGUGAAGAUUAACUCAAGUGAAGAAGUUGAGGUUGGGGAAAUUCACAGAAAGUCUCCAGACAGAUUAUUCAAACAACACAGAUGAAAGUCUUCAACAUACAAUUUGAGGAAAUGAAAGAGUUGAAGAAAUAGAACCCGUAGCCUGAUGAAGACAGUUGUUGAUUGAUACGUCUCCGUCGUAUCUACUUUUACGAACUCUUUUGCCCUUGUUUUGGACUCUAAUUUGCAUGAUUUGAAUGGAACUAACCCGUACUGACGUUGUUUCUCAGCAGAAUUGCCAUGGUGUUGUUUUUGUGCAGAAAUAAAAGUUUUCGGAAUGUCCUGAAAAUUUACGGAGAUUUUUUCUGGAAUAAAAUAAAAAUACCUACGCAAAGAUCCACGUGAGGGGGUGUGCCAGUGGGCCACAAGCCCACAGGCCGCGGCCACCCCCUAGGGCCGCGCCAUGCAGGCUUGUGGGGCCCACGUGGCACCACCGCCCCAAUCUCAGUUCUAUAUCUUCCGUUUCGCCUGGAAAGAAAUCGGAGAGAAGGUUACAUCGCGUUCUGCGAUACGGAGGUGCGCCACAUCGUGUUCUUCAUCUGGAGGGCAGAUCUGGAGUCCGUUUCGGGCUCCGGAGAGGGGAAAUCGUCGCCAUCGUCACCAUCAACCUUUCUCCAUCGACAAUUCCAUGAUGCUCUUCAUCCUUCGUGAGUAAUCUCAUCGUAGGCUUGCUGGACGGCGAUGAGUUGGAUGAGAUCUAUCAUGUAAUCGAGUUAGUUCUUGACGGGGAUUGAUCCCUAGUAUCCACUAUGUUCUUGAUUGAUGUUGCUACUACUUGGCUAUGCUUAAUGCCUAUCACUAGGGCCCGAGUGCCAUGAUUUCAGAUCUGAACCUAUUAUGUUGUCGCCAAUAUAUGUGUGUUUUAGAUCCUAUCUUGCAAGUUGUAGUCGCCUACUAUGUGUUAUGACCCGGCAACCCCGGAGUGACAAUAGCCGAAACCACUCCUGGAGAUGACCAUAGUAUGAGGAGUUCAUGUAUUCACAACGUGUUAAUGCGUUGGUCCGGUUCUUUAUUAAAAGGAGAACCUUAAUAUCCCGUAGUUUCCAUUAGGACCCCACUGCCACGGGAGGGAUGUACAAUAGAUGUCAUGGAAGUUCUUUUCCCUAAGAACGUAUGACUACAUACGGAAUACAUGCCUACAUUAGAUUGGUGAACGGGAGCUAGCCACAUAUCUCUCCGUGUUAAAGCUAUUACAUGAUGAAUCACAUCCGUCACACUCAUCCAUCACCGAUCCACUGCCUACGAGUCUUUUACUACUGUUCCUCGCUACGUUACUUUGCCUAGGCUUGUCCCUUGCUACAAGAGGGAUUGGCCCACUUUGCUGCUGCUCUCACAUUGAUGUUGUUGCUACUGCUGUUACUUGUUACUUUGCUGCUGCUGCUACUACUGUUCGUUGCUACUCCGCUGUUACUUGUUGCAAGACUUUGUUGGCGCUAACAUCCCGUCAACAAGGCUUUUUCUGGCGCUGUUGCUGGGAAUUGCCAAAUCUUUUUCUGGUGUCGUUGCUAUCAUACCACCUUGCUACUGAUACUUUGCUUGCAGACACUAAUCUUUCAGGUGUGGUUGAAUUGAUAAGUCAGCUGCUAAUACUUGAGAAUAUUCUUUAGCUUCCCCUUCUGAGCGUAUCAAUAAAUUUGGGUUGAAUACUCUAGCCUCGAAAACUGUUGCGAUCCCAUACGCUUGUGGGACAUCAUUGAUGACCCAAUUCCAACUGCUGUGACAGUUGUACGUCUGGUUCGGAGCGUCUUGGUAUUGAAACCAAAGGACACACAAUCCUGGGACACACGGUCCCUACCGUAUUCUCCUUGAUCUAAGGACACACAGUCCUCGCCAAACACUCAUGGUAAGUCUUCAGGGCAGGCUUCCAAACCCUCACAAACUCGGUCACCCGGCGAUCCACAGUUGACUGCUGGAUGCUCUAGACGAUGACGUCUAACCGCCUGGAGGAUGCAUAGUUCUCAAAGGUAACAGUUUCAGUUCCACACAUAAACAACUUCUUCGGUGAUGCUCAAUCACUUGGUUUUUGGUUUGGGGUUUGGUGUUUGGGGUAUUUCCUCACUUGAAGAUUUUCUCUUGAAGACUCUGAGGAAUUUGGGUUGCUCUAAAUGACAAGUGUAAGUAUCUCUCAGAGCAGCCAACCAGCAAGUGGUUGUGGGGGCGCUAUUUAUAGCCUUGGAGCAUCCCAACAUGAUUUCACAUAAAUGCCCUGAUACAUCUCCGUCGUAUCUACUUUUACGAACUCUUUUGCCCUUGUUUUGGACUCUAAUUUGCAUGAUUUGAAUGGAACUAACCCGGACUGACGCUGUUUUCAGCAGAAUUGCCAUGGUGUUGUUUUUGUGCAGAAAUAAAAGUUCUUAGAAUGUCCUGAAAAUUUACGGAGAUUUUUUCUGGAAUAAAAGAAAAAUACAUGCGCAAAGAUCCAUCGGAGGGGGCAUGCCAGUGGGCCACAAGCCCACACGCCGCGGCCACCCCCCUAGGCAGCGCCGUGCGGGCUUGUGCGGCCCACGUGGCACCACCGCCCCCAAACUCAGCUCUAUUUAUUUUGUCUCGCCCGGAAAAAAAUUAGAGAGAAGGUUUCAUCGCGUUUUGCGAUACGGAGGCGCCGCCACAUCCUGUUCUUCAUCUGGAGGGCACAUCUGGAGUCCAUUUCGGGCUCCGGAGAGGGGAAAUCGUUGCAUCGUCAUCAUCAACCUUUCUCCAUCGACAAUUCCAUGAUGCUCUUCAUCGUUCGUGAGAAAUCUCAUCGUAGGCUUGUUGGACGGUGAUGAGUUGGAUGAGAUCUAUCAUGUAGUUGAGUUAGUUCUUGACGGGGAUUGAUCCCUAGUAUCCACUAUGUUCUAGAUUGAUGUUGCUACUACUUGGAUAUGCUUAAUGCUUGUCACUAGGGCCCGAGUGCCAUGAUUUCAGAUAUGAACCUAUUAUGUUGUUGCCAAUAUAUGUGUGUUUUAAAUCCUAUCUUGCAAGUUGUAGUCACCUACUAUGUGUUAUGACCCGGCAACCCCGGAGUGACAAUAGCCGGAACCACUCUCGGAGAUGACCAUAGUAUGAGGAGUUCAUGUAUUCACCAAGUGUUAAUGCGUUGGUCUGGUUCUUUAUUAAAAGGAGAACCUUAAUAUACCGUAGUUUCCAUUAGGACCUCGCUGCCACGGGAGGGAUGGACAAUAGAUGUCAUGCAAGUUAUUUUCCCUAAGCACGUAUGACUACGUACGGAAUACAUGCCUACAUUAGGUUGGUGAACGGGAGCUAGUCACAUAUCUCUCCGUGUUAUAGCUGUUACAUGAUGAAUCAUAUCCGUCUCACUCAUCCAUCACCAAUCCACUGCCUACUAGUCUUUUACUACUGGUCCUCGCUAUGUUACUUUGUCUAGGCUUGUCCCUUGCUACAAAAGGGAUUGGGCUACUUUAGUGCUACUGCUGCUACUCUUGUCACUUUGCUUCUACUGUUGCUACUGUUGUUACUUUGCUGCUGCUGCUAGUGUUGUUCCUUGCUACUUCGCUGUUACUCAUUGCAGGAUCUUUUCCGACACUGUUGUCGAGGAAGAAUAGUUGCUCGUCAACGUACCUUUUUCUGGCGCCAUUGAUACAACAGUUAGGAAUAGUCUGCCGUCAACAGAUCAUUUCUGGCACCAUUGCUAUCAUACUACUUUGCUACUGAUACUUUGCUUGCAGACACUAAUCUUUCAGGUGUGGUUGAAUCUGACACACUCAGCAGCUAAUACUUGAGAAUAUUCUUUCGCUUCUCCUUAGCGACCAACAAAUUUGGGUUGAAUACUCUACCCUCGAAAACUGUUGUGAUCCCAUACGCUUGUGGGUUGUCAAGGCCUUUUCUGGCGCCGUUGCCGGAGAAGCACAACUAUAUUCUCUGAGUCACUUGGGAUUGACGUGUGCUGAUCACUAUGAGGAAUCCGAAAGAUCCAAGAACUAAAAUCCUGCCUUCCACUACGAGGAGAGGUAAGGAACUACCAUCUAUCUCUGCACUUGAUUCACCUUCAGUUUUGAGUAAGUUUGCGACAUCACCUCCUACUAGAAAUCUUGAUAUGUCGCAUGUGCUUGAUGAUGCUACUUCUGCUGCCCAUCAUGCUUAUGAUGAUGCUAUGCUUGAUACUAUGCCUGAUGAUGCUAUGCUAUAUACUAUGCCUGAUGAUGCUAUGCUAUAUACUAUGCCUGAUGAUGCCAUGCUUGAUAUUAUGCCUGAUGAUGCUAUGCCUGAUACUGCUUUGCCACUUGGUGCCCUUGAUGCACAACUUGCUAGAAUUGCUGCUAGGUGUGAUGAUACUUCUGAAACUGCUGAUACUAUUGAAGUAGACCCUGCUACUAUGCCUGAAUUGCCUGUUAUGCCUGAUACGUGCUAUGUUAUGGAGGGAGAGAUAGCUGAGGACUUUCUUGCGUGUAAGGAUAGAUAUGAUGUUGAGAAACUUCUGCGCAAGUGGAAAGAAAAAUCUCUGAACGCUAGGAUGAAAUACGACCCGAAGUUUGCCACUUCACCUAUAUUUGUGACCGAUAAGGAUUAUGAAUUCUCUGUCGACCCUGAGUUGAUCACUCUGGUCGAAUCUGAUCCCUUUCACGGUUACGAGUCUCAAACGGUGGUAGCCCAUCUUACCAAACUGCACGAUAUAGCCACCCUAUUUACUAGUGAGGAAAAGAUCCGCCACUACUAUAUGCUCAAGCUGUUUCCUUUCUUGCUAAAGGAUGAUGCUAAGACCUGGUUCACUUCUCUUGCUCCUGGUUGUGUGUGUAGCCCCCAGGAUAUGGUCUACUACUUCUCUGAAAAAUAUUUCCCUGCCCAUAAGAAGCAAGCUGCCUUGCAGGAAAUAUACAAUUUUGCUCAAGCUGAAGAAGAGAGUCUCCCACAAGCUUGGGGGAGGCUUAUCCAGCUACUGAAUGCUUUGCCUGAUCACCCUCUUGAGAAGAAUGAAAUACUUGAUAUCUUCUAUAAUGGACUUACCGAUGCUUCCAAAGACCACUUAGAUAGUUGUGCCGGUAGUGUUUUUAGGGAACGAAUUGUAGAACAAGUUGAGAUUCUGUUGAACAACAUCUUAUGCAAUGAGAAUGCUUGGACUAUUCCCGAACCACCUCCUAAGCCAACUCCGAAGAAAAGAGGUAUUCUAUUCCUCAGUCCUGAAGAUAUGCAAGAAGCCAAGAAAUGUAUGCGAGAGAAAGGCCUUAAAUCUGAAGAUGUCAAACAUCUACCACCUAUCGAAGAUAUCCAUGGUCUCGAUAACCCGAUACAGGUAGUAGAAGUAAAUUCUCUGCGUAGGUUUGAUGAGAGUGAUAUUCCUUUUGAUAAACCUGCUAGCUUAUGCAUGGAUGAAUUUGAUAACUUCGUUGUCAAAAAACAGAGUUUCAAUGAUUAUGUUAGCAGACAAUUGGAAAAGAAUGCUCGUAUGCUUAGUCAUUUAAGUGCUUGUGUGGACAGAAACGUCAACGAUCUUAAGCUUCUGAGUAAACAUGCUUCUAUGGUUACUACUCAGGUAGAACAAGUACUUAAACCUCAAAAUGACUUGCUCAAUGAGUUGAACGACAAUUCCGUCAGAGUCGUUACUAGAGGCGGUAGAAUGACCCAUGAACCUUUGUAUCCUGAGGGUCAUCCGAAGAGAGUUGAACAAGAUUCUCAAGGAGUUAGCACUCAUGCACCUAGUCAUCCUAGAAAGAAGAAGAAAGAUGAUAAGAACCUGCACGCUAGCAACCCUAUUGCUACUACACCUGAGAGUUCAAACGACGUCUGUGUCUCUGAUGCUGAAACACAAUUUGGUGAUGAACAUGAGCCUUAUGAUAAUAUCAAUAGUAAUGUUCAUGAAGAUGCUCAACCUAGCAAUGAUAAGGAUGUGGAGAUUGAACCUGAUCUUGAUAACACACAGCCUAAGAAUAGAAGAUACGAUAAGAAUGACUUCACUGCUAGGAAGCACGGUAAAGAAAGGGAGCCAUGGGUUCAGAAACCUAUGCCCUUUCCUCCCAAACCAUCCAAGAAAAAGGAUGAUGAGGAUUUUGAGCGCUUCGUUGAAAUGAUCAGACCUGUCUUUCUGCAAAUGCGUUUGACGGAUAUGCUCAAAAUGUCUCCGUAUGCUAAGUACAUGAAAGAUAUUGUGACUAAUAAGAGGAGGAUACCUGAUAUUGAGAUUUCCACCAUGCUCGCUAGUUAUACCUUCAAGGGUGGAACUCCCAAGAAACUAGGUGAUCCCAGUGUGCCCACUAUACCUUGCUCCAUUAAAGGUAACUACGUUAGAACUGCUUUAUGCGACCAUGGAGCCGGUGUUAGUGUUAUGCUUCUCUCUCUUUAUCAUAGACUUGAACUGGAUAAGUUGACACCCACUGAAAUCUCUCUGCAAAUGGCCGACAAAUCAACUGCUUUCCCUAUCGGCAUUUGCGAGGAUGUGCCUGUUGUGGUUGAUAACACAACUAUCUUAAUAGACUUUGUUAUCUUGGAUAUUCCCGAGGACGAUGCCAUGGCUGUCAUCCUUGGAAGACCCUUUUUUAACAAUGCAGGGGAUGUUAUAGAUUGCAACAAAGGCAAUGUCACUUUCCAUGUCAAUGGUAAUGAGCAUACGGUGCACUUUUCGAAGAAACAAUAUCGAGUACAUUGCAUCAAUGCUAUCGAAAAAACUUCAUCGAUUCUUAUUGGGAGCUUUGAAUGCCCUAUUCCUCAUGUCAAGAUGAAGUAUGACUUGCUUGUUGGGGAGAUACACAUCCCCAUUGAGGUGACCUAGUGACUAUUCGAAAAUUCUCUGUCUUCUUUUGCGAUUCGAGAAAGUUUUGUCGAGGAGACUUGAUCAACCCCAUUGACGGAUUUCUUUCGAUGACCAUGAGAUGGAUGAAUCAACGAGUCACAAACCUCUGUUCCAAGCUUUCACUUUAGGUUGCUUAGAAGAAAAAUGAUAGGUUUAGUUUAGUUUUCCCUGUUUUCUGCUUUUAGUGUCCGGUAGAAAAGUACCCCGAAAAUCAAAGUUCUCCGAACGGUGUGUAAAUCAAGUAUGAUUUUUUCUGGAUUUUUUGAAAAAUACUGGGACAAAGACUCUGUCUGGGGGCCACACCGGUGGGCCACAAUCCCUAGGGUUGCGGGCACCCCCCUAGCCGUGCCACCCAGGCUUGUGGGGCCCACAGGCACCCCCUCCACUCAUUCUUGCUCUCAUCUGGUUCUCCUACCUCCAGAAAAAAUUGUUUCGCAGCUCAAAUCCGUGUUCUUGCUCCUCUUGGUGGGAUUUUUGAUCUCUUUGCUCAAAUCACCGUUCUCCGAACUGUUUUGGGGAANNNNNNNNNNNNNNNNNNNNNNNNNNNNNNNNNNNNNNNNNNNNNNNNNNNNNNNNNNNNNNNNNNNNNNNNNNNNNNNNNNNNNNNNNNNNNNNNNNNNNNNNNNNNNNNNNNNNNNNNNNNNNNNNNNNNNNNNNNNNNNNNNNNNNNNNNNNNNNNNNNNNNNNNNNNNNNNNNNNNNNNNNNNNNNNNNNNNNNNNNNNNNNNNNNNNNNNNNNNNNNNNNNNNNNNNNNNNNNNNNNNNNNNNNNNNNNNNNNNNNNNNNNNNNNNNNNNNNNNNNNNNNNNNNNNNNNNNNNNNNNNNCCGAACUGUUUUGGGGAAUUACUCCUUGGUAAGUGACUCCUCCAUUGGUCCAAUUAGUUUUUGCUCUAGUGCCUUGUACUCCGUGUAUUUUUGCUGCCUUGGUGACCAUGUUCUUGAGCUUUGCAUGCUGAUUCUAGUUGGUCCCAAGUAGUUUUGAUGCGUAAUAUGGUCUCUGGGCACUUGUUGGAGUAGUUGCGACAAGUUUCGUUGAGCCUUAUUCACUUUUCCUUAGAAUCACUAAAAAAUUCAGAAAUUUUCAGAGAUAGAAAAGGGAAAGAUGAGGAGGUUCUUAAGAGGCUCGUCAAGCCGUGACCCCAAGGAUGAUGGGAGUGAGAAGAAGCCCAAGUAUUUGGUCCCUCGAGUCGCGGAAGUUUGAGCGUGCGAGUGGCCAAGCGACGUGUUCUUACGCAUCGCUGGAAUUUAUGAGGACUUUUAUCAUUUGGUGGGGAAUGCAGGCCUUACCGCUUUCGUUGAAGAUAAGUGUCCGCAAAACCUCCUCCUCACUAAUAUCUUCGUACAAAGCUUUAACUUCUAUCCGAGGAAGAAUCCUCCUAUGGUUGAGUUCAAACUUUAUGAUAUCCCCCAGCGCAUGUCACUCCAGGAUUUUUGCAAUGUUUGCAAAUUGCCUUACGUUGGGGAUAUUCAUGAACCUCGUCCACGGGACGUGGAAGCUUUCAUCGGUACUAUUGUUGUAGGAGAGGAGAGAGGAGUGUCUUGCGCUAGAGCUGCUAGCAUACAUUUUCCCGUGCUUCGGUACUUCUCACUAUUUGUGGGAAAAUGUUUGAUUGGUCAUGGGAAAGCUGGGUCACUUAGUUCCCCAGAUCUUGUGGUCUUGCACGAAGCCCUUUAUAACGAUAAAACUUAUAGCUUGGGCGCUAUAGUAGCUCAACGGUUGAACCUGAACCGUUCUAAGGGUGUUGUCUAUGGAGGUAUCUACGCUACUCUUCUUGCUAGACACUUUGAGAUACCUAUUAGACUGGAGGAGGAAGAAGAGAUUCUUCUUCCCGAGAGAUAUCUAGAUUAUGAUAGCAUGGUUCGCCAUGACUUUCUUGAUAGUGAUAUAAGUAGAAGGAUGAUUUAUAACCUGGUGUUUAGUCAGGGUACUCGUGAGACUAUUACUUUGCCUGCUCCUUCUUUGUUCAAUCUUCAUGCAGGAAGGUACACUAUUAUGCCCUCGGACAUCUAUGCAUAUUGGGGCUUAGCCCAACGACAGGUGCCUGUGCCUGAGCCGCCAGUCGAGUACCAGACGCCAGUUUAUCAGUGGGAGCCAGAGGAGCUCACAUAGCAGUGGCAUCCUCAGUCCACUCCGGAGUACCCCGGAGCUGGUUAUUUCCCUCCACGGGAGUAGACCAAGUUAGGCCAAAAGCCUAAGCUUGGGAGAGUACGUGUUCUCACCGACUUUACAUUCUUGUUUAUGCUUUCACUUUGUUAGCCGGUGUUCACACUUUGCCACUUUAUCAUCCAUGCUAGUUUAUUUUCUUUUUCUCGUUUUCUUUUCGUGUGUCUGUCUAGUUUGAGAAAACCCAAAAAGAUUUUCUUUUUCUUCUUUUUCUUGUUGGGAGCUUUCCCGUGUAGAUAGUUUUCUUUUUCUUUGGGUCAAGGUAGAAGAUAUUGGUUACACUGUUUAGUGGCUCUUGCAUGCAUACCUGUUUAGCUUUCAAAGAGCCAUAUUACUUUGUCUUCUCCUUUGUGUUUGCCUGCAGAUUCCAGCUUUAGUCCAAUGCACGAGCACGCUUAUUAUUGUUCACAUCGUUCGGUCGUGCAAGUGAAAGGCAAUAAUGACGAUAUAUGACGAAGUGACUGAGCCUGGAAAAGCUGGUAUGAACUCGAUCUAUUUUGUUUUUGUAAAUAUGACUAGCUCACUAUUCCUAGUUCAGCUUUGUUGUGAGGGAAACAUGUUUGCAAUGACAACUUAGAUAUCAUAGUUGCUUGUGCCAUGCUUAUUUAACUAGGAGCUUAUAAUGGUUUGUCUUGGUUGCCCACAUGAAUGUUGAGAUGACUAUGAUGUAGUAUGAUAGGAUGGUAUUCUCCUUUGAAUGUUUCAAGUGGCUUGACUUGGCGCAUGUUCACGCAUGUAGUAGAAACAAAAUCAACAUAGCCUCUAUGAUGUUCAUGUUCAUGGUGAUUUAUGUCCUACUCAUGCUUGCAUUCAAUGUUAGUUACUCUCAAUGCAUUUUGAUGACUGUUGUCGCUCUCUAGUUGGUCGGUCUUUUGCUAGCCUUCACUUGUACUACGCGGGAAUAAUGCUUGUGCAUCCACUUCCAUAAAACAAAAGUUGUGCCAUAUGAGUCCACCAUACCUACCUAUGUGCGGUAUCUACCAGCCGUUCCAAGUAAAUUUGCAUGUGCAAUUCUCUAAAUCUUCAAGAAAUAAUCUAUUUUGCAUGCCCGAACCGCUCAUGUGGUGACAGGGGGCUAUUAGUAUCUUCCAUGCUAGGAGUGUUAUCCUUGAUAUGUGUUUAUUCACUAUCAUUCACGAGAAAGGGGCCGGUAAUUGGAAUUCCCAAUUCCAUGCUCAAAUUGAAAAGAUAAUUGCAAACAAAACUCCCCCAGGAUUGUUGUUGGUAUGGACGGUACCCCAGGAUUCGGCUAUCCAUGGAGUGUGAUUGAUUGGUGGUGGGGGAGUCAAAACUUUACUUUUCUGUUUGGGAACCGCCUAUAGCAUGUGUAGCGUGGAAGAUGUUGAGAACUCUUAGUCAUUGCAUUGACAAAGAAAGCAUGCCACCCAAAAUUAUUAUCUCUGUUUUCAAAGUUUGAGCUCUGGCUCCUUUGCAAAUCAAUGCUUCCUUCUGCGAAGGGCCUGUCUAUUUAUGUUCCUGUGGAUUCAUCCUCCUCUUACAAAAGCACCAAUUAGAGAGCACCUCUGUCAUUUUUAUGCUUUCCUUUUAACUGUGUUGAGUAUGACUAUGACUGGAUCUUCAUUGCCUUGAAUUACAAUGUUUAGUCAGCCCUUGGUCUUUGAAGGUGCUCUGCAUUUAUGUUUUGCGGUCUCACAAAUAGCUAGCGAGAUACCAUCUAUUCGUACUGCUUCAUGUUGUUUUGAUUGAAGUGUUGACAUUUGAGGCUUAUUAUUAUUUGCUCGCUAGUUGAUUAUGCCAUUGAUAUGAGUUUACCGUGAGACCUAGAUGUCAUUUGCUUAUGUGGUUUGCUUGUGAUCUUGCUGAAACUCUGGUUAUGAGUUAGACAUAGUGGCAACAACAAGAUCAAACAGAGUUCGUCAAAGUUUUUCUUUUGUCUCUUUGAGUUUGUCAACUAAAUUGCCUGAGGACAAGCAAGGCUUUAAGCUUGGGGGAGUUGAUACGUCUCCGUCGUAUCUACUUUUCCGAACUCUUUUGCCCUAGUUUUGGACUCUAAUUUGCAUGAUUUGAAAGGAACUAACCCGGACUGACGCUGUUUUCAGCAGAAUUACCAUGGUGUUGUUUUUGUGCAGAAAUAAAAGUUCUCGGAAUGUCCUGAAAAUUUACGGAGAUGUUUUCUGGAAUAAAAGAAAAAUACCUGCAUAAAGAUCCACCGGAGGGGGCGUGCCAGUGGGCCACAAGCCCACAGGCCGCGGCCAACCCCCUAGGUCGCGUCAUGAAGGCUUGUGGGGCCCACAUGGCACCACCGCCCCCAAACUCAGCUCUAUUUAUUCUGUCUCGCCCGGAAAAAAUCAAAGAGAAGGUUUCAUCGUGUUUUGCGAUACGGAGGCGCCGCCACAUCCUGUUCUUCAUGUGGAGGGCAGAUCUGGAGUCCGUUUCGGCCUUCGGAGAGGGGAAAUCGUCGCCAUCGUCAUCAUCAACUUUCUCCAUCAACAAUUCCAUGAUGCUCUUCAUCGUUCGUCAGAAAUCUCAUCGUAGGCUUGCUGGACGGUGAUGAGUUGGAUGAGAUCUAUCAUCUAAUCGAGUUAGUUCUUGACGGGGAUUGAUCCCAAGUAUCCACUAUGUUCUAGAUUGAUGUUGCUACUACUUGGCUAUGCUUAAUGCUUGUCACUAGGGCCCAAGUGCCAUGAUUUCAGAUCUGAACCUAUUAUGUUGUCGCCAAUAUAUGUGUGUUUUAGAUCCUAUCUUGCAAGUUGUAGUCACCUACUACGUGUUAUGACCCGGCAACCCUGGAGUGACAAUAGCCAGAACCACUCCCGGAGAUGACCAUAGUAUGAGGAGUUCAUGUAUUCACCAAGUGUUAAUGUGUUGGCCCGAUUCUUUAUUAAAAGGAGAACCUUAAUAUCUUGUAGUUUCUAUUAGGACCCCGCUGCCACGGGAGGGAUGGACAAUAGAUGUCAUGCAAGUUCUUUUCUCUAAGAACAUAUGACUACAUACGGAAUACAUGCCUACAUUAGAUUGAUGAACGGGAGCUAGUCACAUAUCUCUCCGUGUUAUAGCUGUUACAUGAUGAAUCAUAUCCGUCACACUCAUCCAUCACCGAUCCACUGCCUACUAGUCUUUUACUACUGGUCCUCGCUACGUUACUUUGUCUAGGCUUCUCCCUUGCUACAAAACGGAUUGGGCCACUUUGCUGCUACUGCUGCUACUGCUGUCACUUUGCUGCUACUGUUGCUACUGCUGUUUUUUUGCUGCUGCUGCUGCUACUGUUGUUCCUUGCUACUCUGCUGUUACUCGUUGCAAGAUCUUUUCCGACACUGUUGUCGGGGAAGAAUAGUUGCUCGUCAACGUACCUUUUUCUGGCGCCAUUGAUACAACAUGCCCUUAAAUAGUAUGACUGUUGGGUGGAUAAGAUUAGUGAGGUGGCGCGUGGCGCGGAAACAGUCGGAACUUUCAACUGUGAAAGUCCUCACGUGUCUCAUAUUCCUCACCUUGAGGCUUUGGUAGAUUUAGGCUUGGGUUGAGCAUCAUGAGGAAAUUCAUUCCAUAGUUUUACCUCGACCCCCUUUAAUAGUACGGUGUUCCUAUGACUCAAGAGUAAAGAAAAUGAAAUAGAAAGAGAGUAAAGCUUCACGCUUCAAAGUCUUUAGAAUGUUUUCUUCAGGACACACCGAAUUCCUCAUCUUCAAUAUCUUCAUGAGGAAUAUCAUUUUCAUCGCAAUUUCUUCGCGAUCAAAGUCUUUAAGGAAAAGACCAAAGUCUUCAACCGAAGACAUGCAUUUUAGGGGUCAAUAUUCAUCGUAUAACUCAAACUCCUCAGCGACUUAUAGAGCCUGUGUACACUCACAAACAUAUUAGUCUCUUAACCGAUAAGUCUUCAAACCACCAAAAUCACUAAGGGGUACUAGAUGCACUUACAACUUGAAACUAUGAAAUAUUUUUAGCUAGGGGCAUAAAACAAUAGCGCUUCUUGGGAGGCAACCCAAUAGUUAUCUUUAUUUUUAUCCUUUACUUUCUAUUUGUUUGUGACAACAUGAUUAUUGACUCUCUAAUGAUUAUGUUUUUAUGUUUUAGUUAGUGUUUGUGCCAAGUAAAGCCUUUGGGAUGAUUUGUACGAUGAGUAGAAUUGAUAUGGUACAAAAAUAGAAACUUGGACGUACAGUGCAGAAUUUGUCUCAUUUUACUGGAAUGUUUUUUUAAGAUUGAAUGUUUUACACAAUAUUCAUGAACAAAUUCCUCAGGUAUUCCUAAUGUUUCAGAAUUUUUGUAGUUACAGAAGUAUAGGUUCAUUACAGAUUACUAUGGAUUGUUCUAUUUCGGCCGGGUUUUGCUUUUGCUUGCAUAAUUUGCUUGUUUCGAUGAUGCUACGGAUUUUAUAAGGGGGUAUAAGCCAUGGAGAAAUUAAAAUACAGUACCUUAUGCUAAAAUAAAAUAAGAUUCAACUUAUAACAGUACUUAAAGUAUUUGAUAUGUUUCUUAUACUAACGGAUCUCACGAAGUUUUGUUGAGUUUUAUGUGAUUAAAGUUUUCAAGUUUUGGUUAUUAUCCCGGUGGACAUAGGAUUUAGGAGCAGGAAAAUCCUAAGCUUGGGGAUGCCCAAGGCACCCCAGGGUAAUAUUCUAGGAAGACUCAAGUGUCUAAGAUUGGGGGUGCCCCGCAAGGCAUCCCCUCUUUCGUCUCAAUCCAUCUCUAUGUCACUUGGAGCUACAUUUUAUUCAACACAUGAUAUGUGUUUUGCUUGGAGUGUUGUUUGCUUUUGUUUACUUUUACUUUCAGUUUGCCACAAUCAUCGUUUGCUGGACACACCUAUUUGAGAGAGAUACCACAUCAUCAUAAGUUGUUCGAAUACUCUAUGUGCUUCACUUAUAUCUUUUGAGCUUAAUAGUUGCUCUAGUACUUCACUAAUAUCUUGUUGAGGACGGUGGCGUGUAGAUUUUGUAUAAAUAAUAUGCUCUUGUUCUUCACUUAUAUUUGUUUGAGAGUUAAAUAUAUAGUGACGGUAAUUUGCAUGAGUCAUAAGACUAGAUCAAAAAUAAUAGGUGUUCAAUGAGUGAUAAUUAAAAUUAUCAUGUAGCACAUAUAGAGAAAUUAUGGGUUAAAGAUAUUGAUGUGGUGAUGUAAAAAAGGUGUGAGUGCAUAAUUAUUAAUUCAGAGAGGUGUCUGUAAGUGCAUCUAGUGCCCCUUAGUGAUUUUGGUGGUUUGAAGACUUAUAGGUUAAGAGACUAAUAUGUUUGUGAGUGUACACAUGCUAUAGAAAUCAUGGAGGAUUUUGAGUUCUACGAUGAAUAUCAACCCCUAAAAAUGUAUGUCUUUGGUUGAAGACUUUGGUAUUUCCUUGAAGACUUUUAUCGCGAAGAAAUUGCGAUGAAAUUGAUAUUCCUCAUGAAGAUAUUGAAGAUGAGGAAUUCGGUGUGUCCUGAAGAAAACACUAUGAAGACUUUGAAGCGUGAAGUUUUAUUCUUUCUGUUUCAUUUUCUUUACACUUGAGUCAUAGGAACGCCAUACUGUUAAAGGGGAUCGAGGUAAAACUACGGAAUGCUUUUCCUCAUGAUGGUCAACCCAAGCCUAAAUAUACCAAAGCCUCAAAGUGAGGAAUAUGAGAGACAUGAGGACUUUCACAGCUGAAAGUUCCGACCGUUGCCGCGCCACGCUCCACCCACUGAUCUUAUCCUCCCAACGAUCACAUUAUUGAAGGGCAUUUAUGUCAACUCAUGUCGGGAUGCUCCCACGCUAUAAAUAGCCGCCCCCAAGAACCACUUGCUGGUUGGCUGCUACGAUUGAAACUCACACUUGUCAUUUAGAGAAACCCAAAUUCCUCAGAAUCUUCGAGAGAAAAUCAUCAAGUGAGGAAAUACCCCCAAACACCAAACCCCAAACCAAAAAUCAAGUGAUUGAGCGUCACUGAAGAACUUGUUCCUGUGUGGAACUGAAGCAUGUUACCUUUGAGGAUUGUGCAUCCUCUAGACGGUUAGGCGUCAUGAUCUGGAGCAUCGAGCAGUCAAUUGUGGAUUGCCGGGUGACCGAUUUUGUGAGGGUUUAGAAGUCUUCCCUCAAGACUUACCACGAGUGUUGGCCGAGGACUUUGUGUCCUUAGCUCAAGGAGAAUACGGUAGGGACUGUGUGUCCCGGGACUGUGUGUCCUUUUGGUUUCAAUUCCAAGCCGCUCCGAAUCAGACGUACAACUGUCACAGCAGUUGGAACUGAGUCAUCAACAACUGUCUUCAUCAACCUACGGGCUCUAUUUCUUCAACUCUUUCAUUUCCUUAAAAUGUAUGUUGAAGACUUUCAUCUGUGUUGUUUGAAGAAUUUGUCUGAAGACUUUCUCUGAAUUUCCUCAACCUCAAAUUCUUCACUUGAGUUAAUAUUCACCUCCGUACUCUGUACUUGUGAACAGUGCAAACCGAAUCUCAUAAACUUCAUCGAGUACUUUGUUGUAGUCGUUUUGCACUUGUGAUCCUGCGCUAUUUCCGCUGCACUAAGUUCGUCAUUGAGGACUUUCCUCACAAGGGAUUUCCUCGGUGAUGAAAUUCUAAAAAUUUCCUAUUCACCCCCCUCUAGUCGAUAUAACGCACUUUCAAUUGGUAUCAGAGCAAGGUACUCCAUUGUUCUGUGUGAUUUUGGUUUAACCACCUAGAGUUUUAGUUAUGUCGAUCGCAUGUAUAAUCAAGGUUACUGCAGGAUGUCCUACCUUCGAAGGAAAGGACUUUCCCUACUGGAAGACCAAGAUGCAGAUGCAUAUUCAGGCUAUUGACAAUGAUCUCUGGUAUAUUGUGGAAAAUGGUAUUCCCUCCAUCCCUGCUACUGCCUCUGCCGCUGAUGUGAAGAAGUUCAAGCAACUUGACUCACAAGUGAAAAAUAUCAUCCGUGGCCAUCUGAGCAAAGGUCAGUAUGGCAGAGUGAGUGCUUUGGGAACAACUAAGCUUAUCUGGGAUAGGAUGUCCAAAGUCAAUGAGGGAGUCUCAACACAGCGUGACUCUCGUGUUGAUGUUCUUCGCAAUCUCUUCAAUCGCUUCAAGAGGCUUGACAAUGAAAGCUGCCAAGAUACCUUCGAUCGCCUCAUUGACAUCUCAAAAAGAACUGCAAGCACUGGGAGCUAGAGACAUCACUGACCAUGAAGUUGUGAAGAAACUGCUAAGAUCUCUUGAUCCAUCGUUUGACACACCGGUUCUAAUGAUUCAAGAAAGAAGAGACUACAAAAUGCUUGAUCCUGCUGAUAUACUCGAGAGACUCAAUACUCAUGAAUUCCAACAAGAAGAAAAGAUAGAUAUGUAUGGACCAAGCUACUCAAGACCUCAUGCGCUGAAGGCUAAGGCUAUUUCCUCAUCUGAAGAAGAAGACUCAGAUUGGAGCCUUGGUGACCGUGAAGAACUGGGAAAACAACUUGCUAUGUUCGUGAGGACAUUCCAGAAGUUCACAAAGUGUGACCAGUUUGGUAAAUCUUCAAGAAGAGAUAUGAGGAAAUCGGAAUCUUCAUAUAAGGAUUACAAGAGAAGAACCUGCCACAAAUGCAAGAAAUCUGGUCACUACAUUGCUGACUGUCCUCGCUGGGUGAAGGAAUCUAGGAAGAAGAAAUACAAGGAUGAAAGUUCUCAUGACUCGAAAAAAAAAUCUUCAAAGUCCUCAUCGCACAAGAAGACUAGUUUCAUAAAGGCUCGGGCACUCAUUGGAAAGGAAAUUGAUUCUGAAAAAGAAUCUGAGGAAUGUGAUGAAGAGGAUUCAGAGUCUGGUGUGGCAAGUCUUGCACUGGCUACCACAUUCAUCAGCAAGUCAAUCUUCAACCUUGAGGAAAAUGACAACACUAUCUACACUAAUGAAAAUGCUGAUGACUUUGCUCCAACCUAUUGCUUCAUGGAAAAAGGUUCAAAGGUACCAAACCAUACUUCCUCCACUGAUUCUAGUGACUGUGAACCUGAUGAUUAUCAAAAGCCCGGUUACUAUAAACUUGCCAACAUUGCCACUAAGCAACAAAGUGCCAUUGAAAAGCUUCAAAAAAAAUUUAGACAGAAGCGAUGACCUGUUGAAUGAUGAAAUGAAUCGUACUCAAGUCCUCACUGAAGAUGUGAAAAGUCUUCAGUCUAGGUUUGGUAGUCUUCAAGAUCGUUAUGGCACACUUUUAGCUGAUCAUGAGAAACUUCCCUAUGAAUUUCUUCAAAGCAAACUUGAUCUUGAGAAGUUGAAAAUGUCUCAUGAUGAUCUUCUAAUGGAAAACGAUUCAUUGCUUGCUCAACAGAUCAGUACUGCUCAGGUUGAAUUCAUUCCACCAUGUUUGAAAUGCAUCGAGCGUGAAGAUGCUAAUUAUUCACCAGAAUCAUCAAAUGCUUCUAUUACUACAAAUUAUUCAACUGUCCGUGUGGUAUCAAAUUCUUCACUUGAAGAACCCACAAAUGCUACUUACGAAAAUACAGGGUUGAAGGAACUGUAUGUGACAGGCAUAUACAAAAGUCUCAAAGGGCAUCAAACAAUUUGCGAUGUGCUCAAAAAGAAGAUUUUGAACAUGAACCCGAGGAAAGAAGGAAUUGGCUUUGAGAGGAAAUUGAAUACUAAUGGAUCAUACUGGAAACCUAAGCACUACCCCAAAACCUCAUGGGUUGCUGCUAAAGGUCCUCCCGUCGAUCAUCCACUCUAACAGGCUUUGCAUGUGAAUUAUCCUAUUCCUCAGAUGAGUCAUUUAACUCCAACUAUAAACUGUUCAAAGAUCAAUUUGGUGAAGUAUUUGCUCGAUAUGUUGGAACUAACUGCAGAAAUGGACCACCCUUGAGGAAAAUCUGGGUCCCCAAAAUUUGCUUGGAAAAUCUUUAGGUGAAUGUCCUCAUGACACCACCUGUGAAGAACCAGAAACCGACAUCAAUUUCCUGAGGUUGACCAAAGUCUUCACGAGGAUCAAAAUCCUCAAAUUGUGAAUACUAUACUCGUACUCGCGCUAAUGCUUCUGAUAUGCACGGAAAUUACAAGGGGCAUGAAUAUGAGAUUUAUUCCUCAAAUCAUUAUGUUCAUAAGUCCUCAAAGAAUUUCCCUGCCUAUUCAUUUGAGUACUCUAACCCCCUUACUGUGAAAAGAAGUGAUUUAGCUUCAAUGCCUCCAUUCUCAUAUGGUGCUCGCAUGAUGAUGAACUCUUUGCCACCCCUUCAGAUGUGGGUGGUGAAGAAAUUGAACUAAUCACUUCUGCACGCCACGUCUCUAGAUGAAAGUCAUCAUCUUAAGAAUUUGCUGGAGACCCAAGGAAAAUGAUUUAUUGGACGCAAGCUAAACUUGAUGAAAUGAUAACAUUUCACACGUCCUCAAAUUUACUGUUUAUGAUGAAAUUCUUGUCUGAUGAAAUUGAUAUCAUCUUCUUCAAGUCUGAAGCAUAUGAGAUGGUAAGUUGUACUAAUUAAUCUCCAGGAUGACAAACCCAAGAAUACAGAGUGGGUUCUUGACAGUGGUUGCACAAACACAUUACUGGUGAUAAAACCUUGUUGAUGAAUAUGCCACCGACUCCAUCACCACUGAAGCAAAUCACUUAUGCUGAUAAAGGUAAAAGAAAGGUAUUGGGACUUGGAGAAGUGGCUAUCUCCAAGGACAGGCACAUGGACAAAGUCAUGCUUGUCGAAUCCCUUGGGUUUAACCUCAUUUCAGUCUCAAUGCUUUGUGAUCUUGAUAUGGUUGUUAUCUUUGGAAAAUACAGAUGCGUAGUCAUCAUGGAAUCUGACAAAUCCAAAGUCUUUGAAGGCUUUCGGAGAGGAGAUUUGUACAUUGUUGAUUUUUCCACAGGUCCUCAACCAGCCACAUGCUUAGUAACAAAAACCUCAGAAGGCUGGCUAUGGCAUCGAUGUCUCGGUCAUGCAGGCAUGAGGAAUUUUCACAUGGUGGCGAAGAAGAAGCAUGUCAUUGGCAUCGAAUACGUCAAAUUCCUCAAGGACCAUCUCUGCGGUGCUUGUGAAUCUGGAAAAAUAACCAGAUCCAAACACCCUUCGAAGACUAUCACGACUACUACUCGUCCGUUUGAAUUGCUUCACAUGGAUUUGUUUGGACCUACUCAUUAUUCUACUCUAACUAAUGCAGCAUCUUUAUAUGGCUUUGUCAUCGUUGAUGACUACUCUUGCUAUACUUGGGUACACAUCAUUCUGUAUAAAACUGAAGUGCGGGAAGUCUUCAAACGAUUUUCCUCAAGGGCCUCGACAAACUUCAACGUCAAGAUCAAACACAUCAGGAGUGAUAUUGGGACAAAAUUCAAAAACACUCGUCUUGAUGAUUAUCUUGAUGAACUUGGUAUUACUCACGAAAUAUCUGCUCCUUAUACUCCUCAACAGAAUGGGGUCGUUGAAGGCAAGAACAGGACUGUGGUUGAAAUGGCACGGACUAUGCUUGAAGAAUAUCACACUCCUCGUCGUUUCUGGCCUGAAGCAAUCAACACUGCUUGCCACAUCAUCAACAAGGUAUAUCUUCACAAAUUCCUCGAGAAAACCUCAUAUGAACUUCUCACUGGCAAGAAACCGAAUAUAAGUUAUUUCAAAGUCUUUGGGUGCAAAAUGCUGGAUUAGAGAUCCUCCUCAUAGCUCAAUGUUUGCACCUAAAGCACAUGAGGGUUUUAUGCUUGGUUACGGAAAGGAAACGCACACCUACAAAGUCUUCAACACCUAUCACAACAAGGUUGUUGAAAGUGUAGAUGUGCGGUUCAAUGAAACUAAUGGCUCGCAAAGAGAGCAACUGCCUCAUGUGCCAGAUAAACUACCUCCUGAGGAAUCCAUCAAGCUCAAGGCAACUGAAGAUAUCAUUCCUACUGAGGAACAAACCCUUGUUGAAGAAGUCGUACCCAACACUGAGGAAAUUCAAACUAGUGCACCUGGGGAAAAUGCUACAGAUCAAAUUCCUCAGCCCAACCGAAGUCAUCAACCAGCUCAUCCGAGGAUUGCAAAUGAAUUAGAACUUGAAAAAAAUCCUCGAUGACAUCAAUGUGCCAGGUCCUCUCACUCGCUCAAAAGCUUCACAUUUAGUUAACUUUUGUGGGCAUACCUCGUUUGUGACUAUCACAGAACCCUCAAAAGUUGAUGAAGCCUUCAUGGAACCUGAGUGAGUUCAGGCCAUGCAAGAUGAACUUCUUCAGUUCCAGCUAAAUGACGUGUGGGAACUUGUCAAACGACCAGAUCCUCGCAAACACAAUAUCAUCGGCACCAAGUGGAUCUACGAAAACAAGCAAGACGAGGAUGGUCAGGUAUUGAGGAAUAAGGCACGGCUUGUAGCCCAAGGCUACACACAGGUUGAAGGAAUUGACUUUGAUGAAACUUUUGCACCUAUUGCUAGACAUGAAGUUAUUCGAAUAUUACUCGCUUACGCUAACCAUCAGAAUAUAACUCUAUAUCAAUUGGAUGUGAAAAGUGCAUUCCUCAAUGGUAAGCUUGUCACAAAAUCCUCAAUAUUUCAAAAGCUUUAAAAUCUUCAAAUUAUUCAAAAAAAUUGAUGAUUUUAAUUUGAGAAUAUAUAUAUAUAUAUAUAUAUAAUGAGCUUUCAAUGUCCUCAAUAGCAUUCACUUAUAGCUCAGUCUUCAAUUUGAUAUUUCAUCUAAGUGAAUGUGAUCGGACCCGACUCUCCUCUAUACUAAGCUCAAUCCGGUCUAUUCUCAAUUCUUCAUAUGCGUUCAAUUUGACACUUGUUCAAAAUCCUUAGUGAAUCCUUGCCAGCUGAGGACUUUGUAACGAAAUCCUCAAAUUCAAUUUUUUAACCGUUGCAACAGUAACCGCACCCACUACUCACGUUCGGAUAUCCACGAUCUCCACCGCUUCAAUCAUGAGCACGACAUGUCAAGCGGAGACGAAGGGGCAAGGGCAGUUCAGUCCGAAAGUUUCGUCCCGAACAGUUUUUCACCUAAGCUAGAAAUAGCCCCUUGAUACGUCUCCAUCGUAUCUACUUUUCCAAACUCUUUUGCCCUUGUUUUGGAAUCUAAUUUGCAUGAUUUGAAUGGAACUAACCCGGACUGACGCUGUUUUUAGCAGAAUUGCCAUGGUGUUGUUUUUGCGCAGAAAUAAAAGUUCUCGGAAUGACCUGGAAAUUUAUGAGGAUUUUUUGUGGAAUAUAUAAAAAAUACUAGCGCAAGAAUUACCUGGAGGGACGGAGCCAGGAGCCUAGAAGCCCAGGAGGCGCGGCCCCCCUGGCCGCGCCUGGCAGGCUUGUGAGCCCCUCGUGGCUCCGCCGCCUCCAAUUCCAGCUCUAUAUAUUCUCUCUCGCCCGGAAAAAAAUCAGAGAGAAGAGUUCAUCGCGUUUUAUGAUACGGAGCAGCCGCCACCACCUGUUCUUCCUCUCGAGGGCAGAUCUGGAGUCCGUUCUGGGCUCCGGAGAGGGGGAAUCGACGCCUUCGUCAUCACCAACCAUCCUUCAUUGCCAAUUCCAUGAUGCUCGUCAUCGUUCGUGAGUUAUCUCAUCGUAGGCUUGCUGGACGGUGAUGGGUUGGAUGAGAUCUAUCAUGUAAUCGAGUUAGUUUUGAUGGGGAUUGAUCCCUAGUAUCCACUAUGUUAUGAGAUUGAUGUUGCUACUACUUUGCCAUGCUUAAUGCUUGUCACUAGGGCCCAAGUGCCAUGAUUUCAGAUCUGAACCUAUUAAGUUAUCAUCAACAUAUGUGUGUUCUUGAUACUAUCUUGCAAGUUGUAGUCACCUACUAUGUGUUAUGACCCGGCAACCCCAGAGUGACAAUAGCCGGUAACACUCCCGGAGAUGACCAUAGUAUGAGGAGUUCAUGUAUUCACUAAGUGCUAAUGCUUUCUUCCGGUUCUCUAUUAAAAGGAGACCCUUAAUAUCCAGUAGUUUCCAUUAGGACCCCGCUUCCACGGGAGGGAUGGACAAUAGAUGUCAUGCAAGUUCUUUUCCAUAAGCAUGUAUGACUAUAUAUGGAAUACAUGCCUACAUUACAUUGACGAACUGGAGCUAGUUACAAAUCUCCCCAUCUAAUAACUGUUACAUGAUGAAUGUCAUCCGACAUAAUUAUCCAUCACCGAUCCAAUGCAUAUGAGUUUUUCCUACUGGUCCUCGCUACAUUACUUUAUCGCUACUGCUGUCAAUACUGCUACUGUUACCGUUUCUACGGUUGCUAUCACACUACUCUGCUACUGAAACUUUGCUGCACAUACUAAGUCUUUCAGGUGUGGUUGAAUUGACAACUCAACUGCUAAUACUCGAGAAUAUUCUUUUGCUUCCCCUUGUGUCGAAUCAACAAAUUUGGGUUGAAUACUCUACCCUCGAAAACGGUUGUGAUCCCCUAUACUUGUGGGUUAUCAAGACUAUUUUCUGGCGCCGUUGCUGGGGAGGCCUAGCUCUAUUCUCUGAGUCACUUGGGAUUUACAUCUGUUGAUCACUAUGAGGAAUUCGAGAGAUCCAAAAACUAAAGUCUUGCCAUCAACUACGAGGACAGGUAAGGAACUGCCAUCUAGCUGUGCACUUGAUUCACCUUCAGUUAUGAGUAAGUUUGCGACACCACUGCCUACUAGAAAUUCUGAUGUGUCGCAUGUGCUUGAUAAUGCUACUUCUUCUAUCCAUGAUGCUUAUGAUGAUGCUUUGCUUGAUACUGCUUUGCCACUAGGUGCAUUCCUUGAUGCACAAAUUGCUAGAGUUGCUACUGAAUGUGAUGAUACUUCUGAAACUGCUGAAAUUAUUGAAGUAGAACCUGAUGUUUCACCUUUUAGAACUAGCUCUCCUAGAUAUGAAUUGCCUGAUAUACCUGAGGGUUAUGUUAUGGAGGGAGAGGUAGCUGAGAACUUUCUUGCUUGUAAGGAUAGCUAUGAUCUUGAGAAUUUAUUGCGCAAGUGGAAAGAAAAAUCUCCGAACGCUAGAAUGAAAUACGAUCCUAAGUUUGCUACUUCGCCUAUCUUUGUAACCGGUAAGGAUUAUGAAUGUUCUGUCGAUCCUGAGUUAAUCAAUUUGGUCGAAUCUGAUCCUUUUCAUGGUUAUGAGUCUGAAACGGUUGUAGCACAACUUACUAAGCUGAAUGAUAUAGCCACCCUAUUCACAAGUGAGGAAAAGAUUCGUCAUUACUAUAUCCUUAAGUUGUUUCCUUUCUUGCUAAAGGAUGACACUAAGACUUGGUUUACUUCUCUUGCUCCUGGUUGUGUGUGUAGUCCCCAGGAUAUGAUAUACUACUUCUCUGAGAAAUAUUUUCCUGCCCAUAAGAAAUAAGUUGCCUUGAAGGAUAUAUAUAACUUUGUGCAAGUUGAAGAAGAGAGUCUCCCACAAGCUUGGGGAAGGCUUGUCUAGUUACUGAAUGCUUUGCCUGAUCACCCUCUUGAGAAGAAUGAAAUACUUGAUAUCUUUUAUAGUGGACUAACCGAUGCUUCUAGGGACCACCUAGAUAGUUGUGCUGGUUGUGUUUUCAGGGAACGAACUGUGGAACAAGCUGAAAUUCUAUUGAAUAAUAUCUUGAGCAAUGAUAAUGCUUGGGCUAUUCCCGAACCACCUCCGAAGCCAACUCCGAAGAAAAGAGGUACUCUAUUCCUCAGUCCUGAAGAUAUGCAAGAAGCCAAGAAAUCUAUGCAAGAGAAAGGUAUUAAAUCAUAAGAUGUUAAUAAUCUACCACCUAUCGAAGAAAUACAUGGUCUUGAUAACCCGACACAGGUAGUAGAGGUAAAUUCUCUUCAUAGAUUCAAUGAUAGUGAUAUUCCUUUUGAUAUACCUGCUAGCUUAUGCCUAGAUGAAUUUGAUAACUUUGUUGCCAAACAACAAAGUUUCAAUGAUUAUGUUAGCAGACAAUUGGAACAGAAUGCUCGUAUGCUUAGUCGUUUAAGUGCUUGUGUGGAUAGAAAUGUCAAUGAUCUUAAGCUUUUGAGUAAACAUGCCUCUAUGGUCACUACUCAAGUAGAACCAGUACUUAAGGAUCAAAAUGACUUGCUCAAUGAGUUGAAUGACAAUUAUGUUAGAGUCGUCACCAGAGGUGGUAGAAUGACUCAGGAACCUUUGUAUCCUGAGGGCCAUCCUAAGAGAAUUGAACAAGAUUCUCAAGGAGUUAGCACUGAUGCACCUAGUCAUCCUAGUGAUAGGAAGAAAAAGAAAGAUGAUAGGAACUUGCAUGCUAGCAAACCUGCUGUUGUUACACCUGAGAAUCCAAAUGAUAUCUUUAUUUCUGAUGCCGAAACACAAUCUGGUGAUGAACAUGAGCCUAGUGAUAAUGUCGAUAGUGGUGUUCAUGAUGAUGCUCAACCUAGUAAUGAUAAGGAUGUGGAGAUUGAACCUAGUGUUGAUCUUGAUAACCCACAACCUAAGAACAAGAGAUACGAUAAGAACGACUUCAUUGCUAGGAAGCAUGGUAAAUAAAGAGAACCAUGGGUUCAGAAACUCAUGCGCUUUCCUCCCAAACCAUCCAAGAAAAAGGACAAUGAGGAUUUUGAGCGCUUUGUUGAAAUGAUUAGACCUGUCUUUCUGCAAAUGCAUUUGACAUAUAUGCUCAAAAUGUCUCCUUAUGCUAAGUACGUGAAAGAUAUUGUGACCAAUAAAAGGAAGAUACCUGAGGUUGAGAUUUCCACCAUGCUUGCUAACUACACAUUCAAGGAUGGAACUCCUAAGAAACUAGGUGAUCCCGGAGUGCCCACUAUACCUUGCUCCAUUAAAGGAAACUACGUUAGAACUGCUUUAUGCGACAGUGGAGCUGGUGUUAGUGUUAUGCCUCUCUCUCUUUACCGUAGACUUGAAUUGGAUGAGUUGACACCCACUGAAACGUCUUUGCAAAUGGCCGACAAAUCAACUGCUUUUCCUAUCGGCAUUUGCGAGGAUGUGCCUGUUGUGGUUGCUAGCGUUACUAUCUUAAAGUACUUUGUUGUUAUGGAUAUUCCCGAGGAUGAUGCCAUGGCGGUCAUCCUUGGAAGACCCUUUUUAAACACUGCUGGGGCUGUUAUUGAUUGCAACAAAGCCAAUGUCACUUUCCAUGUCAAUGGUAAUGAGCAUACGGUGCACUUUCUGAAGAAAAAAUAUCGAGUACAUUGCAAUGCUAUCGAGCCCACAAGCCCAGGAGGCGCCCCCCUGGCCGCGUCUGGCAGGCUUGUGAGCCCCUCGUGGCUCCGCCGCCUCCAAUUCCAGAUCUAUAUAUUCUCUCUCGCCCGGAAAAAAAUCAGACAGAAGAGUUCAUCGCGUUUUACGAUAAGAAGCCGCCGCCAUCACCUGUUCUUCCUCUGGAGGGAAGAUCUGGAGUCCGUUCUGGGCUCCGGAGAGGGGGAAUCGACACCUUCGUCAUCACCAACCAUCCUUCAUCGCCAAUUCCAUGAUGCUCUUCAUCAUUCGUGAGUAAUCUCAUCGUAGGCUUGNNNNNNNNNNNNNNNNNNNNNNNNNNNNNNNNNNNNNNNNNNNNNNNNNNNNNNNNNNNNNNNNNNNNNNNNNNNNNNNNNNNNNNNNNNNNNNNNNNNNNNNNNNNNNNNNNNNNNNNNNNNNNNNNNNNNNNNNNNNNNNNNNNNNNNNNNNNNNNNNNNNNNNNNNNNNNNNNNNNNNNNNNNNNNNNNNNNNNNNNNNNNNNNNNNNNNNNNNNNNNNNNNNNNNNNNNNNNNNNNNNNNNNNNNNNNNNNNNNNNNNNNNNNNNNNNNNNNNNNNNNNNNNNNNNNNNNNNNNNNNNNNNNNNNNNNNNNNNNNNNNNNNNNNNNNNNNNNNNNNNNNNNNNNNNNNNNNNNNNNNNNNNNNNNNNNNNNNNNNNNNNNNUCAGAUCUGAACCUAUUACGUUUUCAUCAAUAUAUGUGUGUUCUUGAUCCUAUCUUGCAAGUUGUAGUCACCUACUAUGUGUUAUGACCCGGCAACCCCGGAGUGACAAUAGUCGGUACCACUCCCGGAGAUGACCAUAGUAUGAGGAGUUCAUAUAUUCACUAAGUGUUAAUGCUUUGUUCCGGUUCUCUAUUAAAAGGAGACCCUUAAUAUCUCGUAGUUUCCAUUAGGACCCCCGCUGCCACGGGAGGGAUGGACAAUAGAUGUCAUGCAAGUUCUUUUCCAUAAGCACGUAUGACUAUAUACGGAAUACAUGCCUACAUUACAUUGACGAACUGGAGCUAGUUACAAAUCUCCCCAUGUUAUAACUGUUACAUGAUGAAUGUCAUCCAACAUAAUUAUCCAUCACCAAUCCAAUGCCUACGAGUUUUUCCUACUGGUCCUUGCUACAUUACUUUACCGCUACUGUUGCCACUACUGCUACUGUUACCGUUGUUACCGUUCCUAUCACACUACUCUGCUACUGAAACUUUGCUGCGGAUACUAUGUCUUUCAGGUGUGGUUGAAUUGACAACUCAACUGCUAAUACUCGAGAAUAUUCUUUUGCUUCCCCUUGUGCCGAAUCAACAAAUUUGGGUUGAAUACUCUACCCUCGAAAACUGUUGCGAUCCCCUAUACUUGUGGGUUAUCACCCCUUAGCCCCUUAGUCAACACUCUUCUUUCCCUCUCGUCUUCUCCGCUCGAGCUUGACCCUGGCGCCGCCUCUAACAUCUUCGCCGCAGGUGAGGAAAAGCUUCACUGCCUUGCCCUAGCCGUCGACGAACUCACACCGACAACGGACUAUCCUCCUCCGCCGUCGCCGUAGCUAUUUUCAGUCGCCAAGUUAGGGCACUGAAUAUCUGAACCGAAGAACUUCCUGUUUUUAUUGCCUCAGUUCAUCGUGUUCUUCGCACAGGGUAAAUAAAAUCUUAUUUUAUUGCCCUAUUGAUCUUUUAUUUCACUUUAGAUUCAUCAAAUCAGUUUUUCCUUAGAAAUUUCCUCACAUGUGCACACUCAUUCCUAGAACACUUGAUGAAUUUCACUAAGUUACUAAAAUUCUUCACGAGAUUCCUCAAUUGUGUAAAUUUUCGAAUGUGCACACCUCUGGAACCCAAUAUCAUAAUGCUUAGUCAAAUUCCUCAACUCACUCAUCAAAUUCCUCAGCUUUUAAAAAAUUUCAAUUUCCUCAAAUCUGAGAACGCAUAUGACCUCUCCAAAUUCUCCGCACCUAUACUUUGUUCACAUGUACAAAAUGCGAGCUGGUGAAUCUCUAGGUUCUCAUCAACUUAACUCAUUUGCGGCAUUUCUCGAAGAAACUUUAUCUGUGUCUUCAGAACCAUCAAGAAUUCAAAUUCCUCAGCAAAAACCUCGGUUGAAGAAAAUGGAAGAAGAUCGGAAAUAGAAAGGUGGCAAGAAACUGGUGUAGAAUACUGCUUUUGAGAUCCGUGAAGAAAUAUAUGCUGACUACUAUACACAUGAUGAAGAAAUACAUGGUAAAGAGACAAUGGCAAAGCACAAGAUUAGGCUUCAAAAGAUUGAGCGCAGGUGGGCAAAAGAGUGGAAGGAGUACAGAUAUGUGACUCUAAAAUAUGCAAAGAAGUUUGCCCUCAAACAUCCCUGCAAAAGGCCGCCAUAGGGAGAUCAACAAGCAGCUCAUCCCUCAAGUGUCGCCACUAUUGAGGAUUAUCCUGAUGAGAAAGACAAAUACUUGUCUAAGUUGCAGAAAAAGGCAAACGCUGUUGUGAUGAAAUUCAAUGAGGACUCUGCUGCUGCUGCCACUGCUGCCACUUAUUCAGCUGUUGAAGCCUCUGCUACUGCAAUUCCUUAGAAGAAGACUCUGCUGAAGAAACCAGAAGCUUCACUUGCUGCGUCAAAAGAGCAAUUUCCUCACAAAGUUGCGACGACUGCAAAAUACUCAACUGCAAAACAGUCUUCACCUCCUCCGCAAAAGCAGCUCAAUGAGAUUCAAUCUGGACAACCUAGUUCCUCUGUGCCAUCUGCUACUGGCUCCGCCUCAAAAUCUUCACCAAGUCUUUUGAAGACUAAGAUGACUGCUGGUAGAACUACCAGACCGAGUCCUAGCAAAAUCAUCAACAUUCCUUCUGCAUUAGAAGGAAGUGAAGAAUUUGAUGAAGAAACACUCCACACCAUUAUCAGAAACAAACAAGAACGUGUUGCACAAGCCUCUGGCAGUUCCAUUCGUCUUGCAAUGGAUCCGAAGGUAUUGCUGGACUUCAUUGACCUCUGGUAUGAAGAUCCAAACACACCGAUUGAUGAUUUGAAGCUUCCCCUUGGUGUAAGCCAUAUGUUUGCUACUUUCAUCAAUGAAACUAAAUGGAAAGAACAGCAAGCCAAGCAAGCCACGACUGCUAAAGUCAAAAAGGAGAAAAUCCUGAAGCAGAAUAUCCUCAACUUGUCGCCUGAAGUACUCAUUUCAACUAAUGCUGAACUCAAAACCGCCACGGACAAGUAUACAAGUCUUCACGUUGAUUGUAAAGGGGUCAAAGAGAAAUUCGUCAAUGCUGCUACUGCUGCAGUUGAUGAAUACAAUACCAGAAUGGCCGCAUCAAAGCGGCAGACAAACCCUCAGCCAAGCUACACUGUUGAAUUGCCUGAGGAAGAUGAAGAUGAAGAACCAGUUGUUGAAGAUAUUCCUCCAAAUAUUCUAGCUGAUGAAUCUGCAAGGCCCGACUCUGAUAAACCAAUGCAUGAUGAAAGUGCUCCUUCAGCAAAAUCCUCAAAGCUGAAGAAAGUGACUCUGUCUGCAUCAGACAUGAAGAAAACCAAGACAGCUAAGAAAGAAGCUAAAAAGAGAAAAGCUUCAAUGGCUCCAGAAUCGUCAAAAGUCAAACAUCUGAAGAUUAUGCCUUCAGAAUCCUCAUCACCCCGGUGGAUGCUACUCCUCUCAAUGUAGCACCAUCGUACAUGAUUGUUCCUUUUAGUGAGGACUAUGUCAUUCCCGAAGACGAUGAUGAAAUGGAAGACACUCGCUCACGUGCAUCCACACUGAUGGAUGAGGAAAUAAAAGUUGAUAAUAUUACUCAAAUCCAUACACCUCCGAGGACUACUGAAGAAAAGGAGGGUGAUGAAGAAAUUGGAUGCUGCACUCCUGUGAUCCAUGAUGAGUUCUGGGAAGAGACUCAUCCGAAAUUGCAAAGGAUAGCUCAAAUCCCUCAAACUCCAUCUGCCACUGAGAUUCUUACCGGCUCUGAUGAAAAGAGCAUUCGUGCGGAAUCAACACAAGAAUGAGUUGCAUCAGCUGAAGAAAAUGCAGCAUUACUACUUCUUGAGCUUGCGUUGGUUUUUCCCUUGAAGAGGAAAGGGUGAUGCAGCAAAGUAGAGAUAAGUAUUUCCCUCAGUUUGAGAACCAAGCUAUCAAUCCAGUAGGAGUAUCAAGAUGAGGCACCAAGGCACGUGCGCAAAGACAAUCAAACUUGCACCCAACACGAUAAAGGGGUUGUCAAUUCCUUUACGAUUACUUGCAAAGUGAGAUCUGAUAGUGAUAAUAGGUAAAUAUAAAUAAAUAAAUAAAAGUGCAGCAAUGUAUUUUUGGUAUUUUUGUAUGUAGAUCUGAAUAUAUAAUGUGUAAAGUAGACCCGGGGGCCAUAGUGUUCACUAGAGGCUUCUCUCAUGAUAGCAAGUAUUACGGUGGGUGAACGAAUUACUGUCGAGCAAUUGAUAGAAUUGCGCAAAGCCAUGACGAUAUCUAAGGCAAUGAUCAUACAUAUAGGCAUCACGUCCGAGACAAGUAGACCGAUAAUUUCUGCAUCUACUACUAUUACUCCACACAUCAACCGCUAUGCAUGCAUCUAGUGUAUUAAGUUCAUAACAACAGAGUAACGCCUUAAGCAAGAUGACAUGAUGUAGAGGGAUAAAUUCAUGCAAUAUGAUAUAAACCCCAUCUUUUUACCCUUGAUGGCAACAACACGAUGCGUGCCUCGCGACCCCUUAUGUCACUAGGUGAGGACACCGCAUGGUAUGAACCCAAAACCAAGCACUUCUCCCAAUGCAAGAAUUAUAUAUCAAGUUGGCCAAACGAAACCCAUAACUCGAAGAGCAUUACAAGGAUACGAAAUCAUGCAUAUAAGAAAUCAGAGGAGACUCAAAUAAUAUUCAUAGAUAAUCUGAUCAUAAAUCCACAAUUCAUCGGGUCCCGACAAACACACCGCAAAAGAAAGUUACAUCGGAUAGAUCUCCGUGAAGAUCAUGGAGAACUUUGUAUUGAAAAUCCAAGAGAGAGAAGAAGCCAUCUAGCUACUAGCUAUGGACCCGAAGGUCUGUGGUGAACUACUCACGCAUCAUCGGAGAGGCAAUGGUGUUGAUGAAGAAGCCCUCCGUGUCCGAAUCCCCCUCCGGCAGGGCACCAGAACGGUCGCCAGAUGGGAUCUCGUGGAAAUAGAAUCUUGCGGCGGCGGAAAAGUAUUUUCAUGGCUCUCUCCGUUGGUUUGGGGAUUUUAGGGAAUUUAUAGGUGAAAGAGGUAGGGCAAAGGAGGCACUGGGGGCCCACGAGCCUGCUAGGCGCCCCCCUGGGGCGUGCCUAGGGGGCUCGUGGCCUCCUCCGUGGCCCUCUGUCUUGGUUCUCAAGUCUUCUAGAUCCCUUCUGUUAUGGAAAAAAUCAUCCCGAAGGUUUUAUUCCGUUUGGACUCCGUUUAAUAUUCUUAUCUGAAAAAGGUCAAAUACACGGAAAAAAACAGAAACUGGCACUCGGCACUUAGUUAAUAGGUUAGUCCCAAAAAUGAUAUAAAAUUGCAUAUCAAUGCAUAUAAAACACCCCAAGUUGAUAAUAUAGUAGCAUGGAACAAUCAAAAAUUAUAGAUACGUUAGAGACGCAUCAAGCAUCAAAAAUUGAAACUGCCUCCUAAAAUAAGCAAGUUCCUCAAAAUGAAGAAAAUGCUCAAACUGAAGAAACUGCUCCUGCUCCAAAUGUUGUGACUGCAAUUGUUGUGGUGAAUCCAGAAAUUGUAAUUGUAGUGGCCUCAAAUCCUCAAGAGCAUAAUCUUCAACCAAAGUCUCAUCAGACCUUCACCAAGAGGCCUAAGUUUCAGAAGGAAGCAUUUUAUGAGGAACGUCAGUACUUCACAUGAGAAAAAUCGUAUGACAAGCUUCGCAUCAGACACAUGAACUUCUGGACAAGAAAUCAGCUUAACUACUAUGUCUUUGUGUUCUGUGGAAGAAAGAAGAUAUUUCUUCACACUCACAUUCCUCACUGUGAUAUGGAAGAAAUACCUUGCUUUGUCCCAGUCCUCAAUGUUCUUCAUGAAGCUGGGUUAUUGCCUUUCUGCAUAGAUAUCAGUGAUUGGAACACUGACAUAAUUCUUCAAUUUUAUGCCACACUGCAUAUCUCACGCGACCCAAAAGACGUCACCACAUGGGUAUUGAACUGGAUGACUCAGCAUACGCAUUACAAAGCUCCAGCCACUGAAUUGCUUCGACCUCUCCUAAUAUCAAUUCCCUCAGAGGAUGUAGUCAAAAUUUAUGAUGAACGAGAACUGCCGAACAAGCUCAUGGAAGUCAUCAUGAAUCCUUUGGCCAAGGGCCAACAUCCAAGGACUCGAUUUCUGGUGCAAGAUUUGAAGUAUGAGCCCAUAACCGUGUACAUGAUCUUGUCCUAUGCCAUCGCACCUAUCAAAUGGCAUGACAAUGAAGAAGACGCCAUAGGCAUCAUGAAGAAUAUCUUGUUCAACGUCAUUCAUGGCAUCCCUAUGAAUCUUCAUGAUUUCUUCUAGAGGACUUUGGCUGACAAUGCUUGUCACCAUACGAGUUGAAGAUUUAUGCGCCAUGGAUCAUGAGGUUCAUCAGGAAUAGAUCAGGCAUCAACUAUCAAGUUGACUUUCAGAAUCACAUCGGAUAUCUGCCGCCAAUGAAAGUCAUCAAGUUGUCUUUUGAACAUGUUGAAGGCAAAGGCAAGUAUGUGAUCGAUGAAGGAAAUCGGCCCCUAGAUGGCCAAUUUCGCAAGGCUGAUUCCUAUUCCUCGUAUGAUGACACUGCUACUCAAGACCCUCCAAGCCCAACUGCUCCAAGGAUGAUGACUAACAGAGAGCUUCUUCUCAGUCUUCACCAAAAAGUCGAUCGCAGUCACAAGUGGGUGAAACGCCAAUUUGGUGCCAUUGUGAAAACCCUCAAUGAGACUCAAAAUGCAGUGAAGAAAAAUCACUAUUAUCUUCAUGAGGUAGUUAAUCGCACUUGGGCCACCUUGGCUCAUCUGAAGACUCCCGAGAAACUUGAGGAAUUGGAAUUUACUCAAGACUUUGACUAGUCGUGGCCUCCAAAGAAGAAAUUCAAGCCAAUUCCACUUCCUGACUUGGAGGAUAGUUCAUGUUCUUCAUUUCGCACUACUGGAUCAGAUGAAGAACCAGAGGAAACUGCAAUUGGUCCAAGGAAGAAGCAUGUCUCCAAGGAUGCUCACGCCUCUACAUCGUCAAAAAAGUGAAUUUCUUCAAGGGCGUUAGUCCUCAAUUUUGUCCCUUUUCGUCACUUGAUGACAAAAGGGGAGAAAUCUGAGAGUUAGUCUUCAAGUGGGAUACUUUAUGGGGCUUAUAAACUUUAUUAAGCUACAAACUCUUGGUUCUUCUGAAGUCUUUGAUGUAAUGAGUUGUAACUUAAGCCCGAUGGUGUUCUGACUCUUUUGGACAUUUUUCUUCGCAUGCUUAUUCCUCAAAGUUUAUUAAUGCAGGCAUGCUGAAAUUCGUCAGACACCAUUCUUCAUCAUGCAUAUCUAAUUCCUCAUACUAUAUGUUAGAUGCAUGCAUGAAUUUAAGACACAAGGGGAGAUCUCCAUGAUAAAAAUCAUCACUGUGCAUCUGCUGCUCAAAGCAAAUUCCUCAAAAUAUGCACAUCUUCAGGGGGACUUUCUAUGUAUCUUGAUUUCAAAUUCCUCAAACUCAGUACUUACAUUCCAUAUUAUUAUUCCUGUUGAAAACUUAACCUAAUUGUCAUCAACCACCAAAAAGGGCGAGAUUGUAAGUGCAUCUGGUGCCCCUUGGUGAUUUUGGUGGUUUGAAGACUUAUAGGUUCGGAGACUAAUAUCUUUGUGAGUGUACACAAGCUCUAUAAGUCACUAAGGAGUUUGAGUUAUACGACGAAUAUCGACCCCUAAAAAUGUAUGUCUUCGGCUGAAGACUUUGGUCUUUCCUUGAAGACUUUGAUCGCAAAGAAAUUGUGAUGAAAUUGAUAUUCCUCAUAAAGAUAUUGAAGAUGAGGAAUUCGGUGUGUCUUGAAGAAAACACUAUGAAGACUUUGAAGCGUGAAGUUUUAUUAUUUUUGUUUCAUUUUCUUUACACUUGAGUCAUAGGAACGCCAUACUGUUAAAGGGAGUCGAGGUAAAACUAUGGAAUGAUUUUCCCCAUGAUGCUCAACCCAAGCCUAAAUCUACCAAAGCCUCAAAGUGAGGAAUAUGAGAGACAUGAGGACUUUCAUAGCUGAAAGUUCCGACCGUUGUCGCGCCACGCGCCACCCCACUGAUCUUAUCCACCCAACCGUCACAUUAUUUAAGGGCAUUUAUGUCAAAUCAUGUUGGGAUGCUCCCAGGCUAUAAAUAGCCGUCCCCACAACCACUUGCUGGUUGGCUGCUCCGAGAGAAACUGACACUUGUCAUUAGAGCAACCCAAAUUCCUCAGAGUCUUCGAGAGAAAAUCAUCAAGUGAGGAAAUACCCCAAACCAAAAAUCAAGUGAUUGAGCAUCACUAAAGAAGUUGUUCCUCUAUGGAACUGAAGCGUGUUACCUUUGAGGACUGUGCAUCCUCCACACGAUUAGGCGUCAUGGUCUAGAGCAUCCAGCAGUCAAUUGUGGAUUGUCAGAUGACCGAGUUUGUGAGGGUUUGCAAGUCUGCCCUGAAGACUUUCCACGAGUGUUGGGCGAGGACUGUGUAUCCUUAGCUCAAGAAGAAUACGGUAGGGACUGUGUGUCCUUGUGGUUUCAAUACCAAGUCGCUCUAAACCAGACAUACAACUGUCACACCAGUUGGAACUGGGUCAUCAACAAUUGUCUUCAUCAAGCUACGGGUUAUAUUUCUUCAACUCUUUCAUUUCCUCAAAUUGUAUGUUGAAGACUUUCAUCUGUGUUUUUUGAAGAAUUUGUCUGAAGACUUUCUAUGAAUUUCCUCAACCUCAAAUUCUUCACUUGAGUUAAUAUUCACCUGCGUGCUCUCUACUUGCGAACUAUGAAAACCAAAUCUCAUAAACUUCAUUGAGUACUUUGUUGUAGUCAUUCAUUAUUUAGGACUUCCCUCACAAGGAAUUUCCUCAGUGAUGAAAUUCUAAAAAUCGCCUAUUCACCCCCCCCUCUAGUCGAUAUAACGCACAUUCAGUGUCGAUAUUAAGAGAUGUUAAACUUCUUGUUCAUCUAAAAAUUAGAAGGGCAUGGUGAUGAUGUGUGAGCAUUUGUAUUCCUUGUUAAAAUCCUAGUGUUGUUUUGAGUCGGAGUCGCGCAAUGGUUAAUUCCUACCAACCCUCUCCCUCGGGGCAUGCGAGUAGUACUUCGAUUUGUGAUAAAACUAAUAAAACUUUGGAAUAAGUAUAUGAGUUCUUUACUACUAAUGUGACACCAUGGACAUUCGCAAUCUUACCUCCUCAUAUUUGCUAGCCACUUCGGCACUGUGCAUCGCCUGUUCUCACCAAGAGGAUUGGUGCAACUUUCGCUGGUGCAUCCAAACCCUGUGACAUGACACGCUCUGUUGCACAUAAGCCUUUUAAUAUCCUUCUCAAAAUAUACACCACACCUACCUAUCAUGGCAUUUCCAUAGCCAUUUCAAGAUAUAUUGUCAUGCAAAUGCCAUCGUCACUACACAUAACUAGUUCGUUCAUCAUCAUAUUGCUUUGCAUGAUCAUACAGAGCUGCCAUAGUAUUUGUGGCAAAGCCACCAUUCAUUAUAGCAUUUUUGGCAAAUCCACCAUUCAUCAUAUGUUGAAUACUGAGGGAUCGAUACAAGGUGUGUCUAGAGGGGGUGAAUAGACUACUUGACAAGAUUAAAAUCCUAUCCUUUUACCAAUUUUAUGGUUGGUAGAUUUUAGCAAUUCUAACAAGUCUAGUACACCCUACACAUGCUAGUCAACAUAUAUGGCAACGGAAAAGUUUAGGAGAUCAAACACAAAGAAGUUGACACGGCGAUUUUUGGCAUGGUUCCAAUAGGUGGCGCUAUCACACGUCCAUGUUCGUGGAGACUUCAACCCACGAAUGGUAAAGGCAGUGAGAGUCCACGGAGGGCUCCACCCAUAAGGAGUCCAUGAAGAAGUGGCCUUGUCUAUUCCAUCACAGCUUCCGCCCACGAAGGACUAGCCUUACUCAUGGUAUAACUUCACGAAGUAGGCGAUCUCCUUGCCCUUACAAACAUCUUGGUUCAACUCCACAACCCGAAGUAGGAGGCUCCCAAGCGACACCUAACCAAUCUAGGAGGCACAACCCUCCAAAAGGUAAUAGAUGUGGUAGAACGAUGAACUCCCUGAUCUUGUGCUUCUAAAGAUAGUCUCCUCAACACAAAAUCACUCUCUCACAGGAUAAGCAUGGGUAGGAGAGAUUGAUUUGGUGGAAAGAAACUUGAGGAGACUAAAGAUCAAGUUUCAAAUAAUUGGAUUGGAAUAUCUUGGUCUCAACACAUGAAUAUCUUGGGGAGGCUCUCUCUCAGAAAAAUGCAUCUGGCAAUGAAGUCUGUGUUCUGAGUGCUUGCUCUAUGAAUGAGAGGUAAGUGUAGGGAUAUAUAUAGGUUGUCCCCAAAAUCCAACCGUUACACCUAAAGUGGCCAACUCGGUGACACCGAAGUCAUCAACUUGGUGGUACCGACUUGCACUAAAGGCAGCAACUUUCGAAUCUCGGUGGAACCGAUAUACACAACUCGGUGGCACCGAAAAGGUGGCUGACGGUCAUAUGACACAACUCGGUGACAUCGAUACUCAAACUCGGAAAUUCUGAUAUUGUGUACCGAGGCAACAAAAAGUUGGUCACCUAAACUUGGUAGCACCGAUAUGGUUUCGGUUGCACCGAUUUGGUGGGCUUGGCUAGGGUUUUGUCUGGGAUGAAACUCUAUAGUGCCGAAUCUGAAAACUUGGUGGCAUCUAAUUUGAGUGCUUCGUUUUGGACAAAAUGGUUGUGUGGGAAAAAUGACUGCGUAUUUUGGUGGCUAUCUCCGAGCACUUGAGCAACCAGUUCAUUUUAAUACCUCACCCCCUUUUAAUAGUAUUGGCUUUCCUAUGGACUCAAAAGUGAUUUCUCACAAAUAUAAAAUGAAGAGUCUUCUAGCUUGAAGCUUCCGCCAAUCUUAUUCCUUUCUUGCAUCAAGGGGAAACUCCACAUAAUCCUUUAGCCAAUGCUCUCUAUGGACUAUUCCUUAAAUAUACUAGGUAAAAGUAUUAGUCCAAGAGACAAUGUAUGUUUUCAUGAAUUAUCAAAACCACCAAGGGAGCAUAUGUGCUUUCAAUCUCCCCCUUUUUGGUAAUUGAUGACAACAUACAAUCAAAGCUUCAAAUAAGGAUAGAUAUUAGAAUAUGACAGCUUUGAAAGAUACAUGACUAGUACAAGCUCCCCCUAAAUGUGUGCAAUCCUUUUUUUAAAUGAUAGUUGCUUUGGACUUCAUGGGCACACACAUGGUAGAAGGACAAGACAAGUCAUAUAGGUCUUGGCUAUAUGCAUCAGACAUAAGUGAGGGAAGAGCUUCCAUGUUCAAGACUCCCUCUUGCAAACAAUAUGUGCAAGAAACAAGAGAUCGUCAUGAACAAGGAUAUGAUGCAUAUACUUACCUUGAGGAUCUUGAGAAUCUUAGAAAUAGGAGUACACUUGGGAAAACAAUUAUUAGAUAACACUAGAGUAUUCUAAUGUAAAGAUGCAAAGAGCUUCAAAAUUACCAAGAUAUUGAAGGCAUAUUGAAAAUAAGAUUUGACGAUAGAUAUGUCUCCAAGAGAAAUAAGAACUUUCACCCCUAAGGAUGAAUAUGUAAGAAUUUCCUCUCCCCCUGCACCAUAGCAUGUAGAUACUGGGAGAAGGUAGGGUAGGACAAGUUCAAUCUCUCAACAGUUUUAUCUCUCUCCCCUUAAUAUCUAAGGUUUGAUAUAUUUCGCCUGAGGUAGAUCUCCUCUUACGUAGACCUUCCUUUAGGAAUGAAUAUCUCCCCCCUAUUGAUAUUUGUCCCUUUGUAUGUAAGCUUAUUGGAGAUAUUUCUCCCCUAUAAAUAGGUUCAUUGGAAGCUUUGAUAUUUCUCCCCCUUUGGCAUUAAUUUCCAAAAGGGUUAGAGGGUUAGGGCUCAUUGAGAGAAAGGGGUCAUGGAUUCAUCUCUUUCUUAGAAGGGUUCCUUGAAAUAAUUCUCUCCCUUAGAUACAGAUAUGAUUUCAUUGAUUCAUCUCCCCCUUAGGUAUAAGUAAGAGUUCAUUGAAAGAUCCCCCCAUGUAAUAUGGAUAAGAGUUCCUAGAAAGAUAUCCCCCUGUUUGGUAAGGAUCCUGGAUGUUUCUCCCUCUUACAUUGUGGGAUCACUGAGACUUCUCUCUCUUUUUGAAGAUUUAUCCUCCGUUGAAAAGUAUGGGAAAAGGAUUAUAUCCUCCUUCAAAAAGUGAUAGGUUCAAUAAAACUCCGGACAUUAUAAACUUGGGAUCACAGAAAAUAUUUCUCUCCCUUUGGCAAAUAUUCAGAAAAUUUCUAGAAAGAAUGAUAAGCAGCGAUAAUUUUCAGAGUCACUAAGGCAUGGUGAUUCGGUAGAACCGAGUAUAUGAAAUAGGCCUUUGGAAGUAAUCGGUGGGACCGAUUAUUCCACAUUGGUGAAAUCGAGUUGCAUUGUAGAUCAACUCCUUGAAUAGAUACCAGAUGAGAAAUUCUAAUGGAGGCAGAACAAUAAAAGAUACAAAUUGUAGGAUAAAUCUAUACCUAAUAAUAAAGCGGCUAUUGCUUCCAUCGGAAAACCCACCGUGGAUUUUUUAUAAAAAAGCCCCUGUAAUUUUUGUUAUUCAACCCGCGCUCCAUCAUUUAUCUGCAACGCAAAAGGAAAAAACGAUUCGCUGCAAAAAUUAUACCCGUACGCAUCGCCUCCUCCCGUCGACCCUGCGCCACCCUGUCCUGUGCCCAGGCCGCCGCCACACCACUCGUCGCCGUGGCCGACCUCAACCGCCACCGCUGCCGAUCUCAACCCACCCGCCUCCGCGGCCGUACCUCUCCCCGCUCACUGCCCCCGUUGCGGCGCUCGAGCGCAUCGCGUCGACCCUGGUCCACCCUGGCCUGUGCCCAGGACGCUGCCACACCACUCGCUCUCGCGGCCGACCUCAACCACCACUGUUGUCGAUCUCAACCCACCCGCCUCCGCGGCUGUACCUCUGCCCGCUUGCUUCCCCCGUUUCGGUGCUCGAGCACAGCUUCUGGAUCAAAUCAACGCGACAGCUACAGUGACUGGGGAUGAUGUGUCUGCUCGAUGCAGAACGGCGGCAGCGCACGUAUAAGGUGCGGCAGAGCGAAGUACUUGCAGGUGGAGGCCGCCCUCCAUGGCUCACACGGGGAACUCCGAGGUUAUGUCGCAACAACGGCGACUCCUUAUAGCCAGAUAGAGGCGCCUAACCCUUGCUCCCCUCAUCGUAUCCCCUCCUCUGGCUAGAACUCAUCAUCUGGUGAGAUCCCCUCCCCAUGCCUCCAACCGUGUGCCAACCACCAGCAAGAAAUUUUGUUUUGUGGGGAUUUGUUUGCUGAUGAAUGAAUGUAUUGAAUGUAAGAUUGUAUUGUUGUAGAGACAGAGAAUGGAACACCACCUUCAGUUUGUCAUCUGAUCCCACAUUCUCUACCCCAUGAGUUCAAUUUCUCAUCAUCUAGAUAACAGUCCAUUGAUCAAUUCACGUAGCCUCUUUGUUUUGCUUUGCUUGUCCCGCUCAAUUUCUCAUCAUGGUGGAAUUAACGAUGGACGGGUUGAUUUGUCAACAAAAUAGGAUAGAAGUGACUACAUUAGUUAGUUAGCUUAUUAUUUUAAUAAACCAAAAUGAUUAUAAAAAGAUUAAAAGCGUGUGGUGUUUUUUCUCCCGUUGCAACGCACGGGCCCUUUUGCUAGUACAUAAAAAACUACAAAUAAGAAAUUUCAGGAUAGCAUAGUAAAGAAAUACAUUUUUUUGAAAAUAUAUACAUACAUUUAGAUGAGAGUUGAAUGGUUCCAAGGAGUAUGCAAACAAAGAUGUGAACCAUAGUAGAAACUCCAUCUAGAUGUAGGGCGGUGACUAGGUCACCUGUAUUAGAGCAUUUGACUUGAGGAGUCAAGCAAGAAUGCUUGAUGAUAGGUCAUACUCAUCGUUAAGCACGAAAUGGGGUUACCAUUUUUCGAUCAAGAAUUCCAGUGUCUUCAUAUCACUUGAGGUGCUUUACCUCAUGAAUUGGUGUAAAGCUUUAUCAAGGAUAUGGGUACAUACCUUCGAAUGAUGUUGAUGACGUGGUAUGUAGGUGAACUUGUUGUGGAUGCUCAAAGUAGAUGAAGAUCAUCUUGAGUUGGGAGCAAUCCUUGUCGUUUUGGUUCGCUUUUCACCUACAAUGGUUAGUCAUGCAAGGAAAACCAUAAUAUAUCCAAAUGACAAGAGUGAAUGAAUUCAUCAAAUGAUAGUCAAGGAUAUGAUUUUGUUAUCUUCUUUCUCCAUCUCCGAAGAAAGAGGUUGUUGAUACUUGGCCAUGUCAAGAUUGAUUUUGAUGAGAGUUCAUGGCAAUCUUGUGCAGUGUAGUUCUUCCAAGUACCUACAAAAGAUUAGAUGUAAUACAAGGGAGCAUAGUUUCCAAGAUAUAAGAUAGUCAUAGCAUCAAGGAAUAGUCAAUCAAGCGCAUGCCCUUGCAUGCAUCCGAGUGAGUCUAGCUCAAGUUUUAAGCAUCAAUGAUGUUCAACUCACUCCUCAAAUGAAAAAACACUUUCUCAUCAAGCAGUUUUGUAAAGAUAUCAGCUAAUUGUUUGUAAUUACGAACAUGCUUGAGAUCUAUAUCUCCUUUACCAACAUGAUCACGAAUGAAAUGAUGUCGCACCUAAAUAUGUUUUGUUCGAUAAUGUUGCACAGGAUUAUAGGCAAUUUUAAUAGCACUUUCAUUGUCACAUAACAAUGGAACUUUUCUAACAUGAAUGCCAUAAUCCUUAAGAGUUUGAGUCAUCCAUAGUAAUUGCGCACAACAUGAUCCAACGGCUAUAUAUUCAGCUUCGGUAGUAGAUAAUGAUAACGAGUUUUGCUUCUUGGAUGACCAAGACACAAGAGAUCUCCCAAGAAAUUGACAUGUACCCGAGGUGGAUUUUCUAUCAACCUUGUGUGUGGAAUAGUCCGAGUCAGAAUAGCCAACAAGAUUAAGAGAAGAUCCCUUCGGAUACCAUAUACCAAAGUUUGGUGUAUGUAUGAGGUAUCUCACUAUUCUUUUUACAGCCAAUAGAUGACACUCUUUUGGUGAUGCUUGAUAUCGGGCACACAUGCGAAAAAUCAACAUGAUAUCAAGACGGGAGGCACAUAGAUAUAGCAAUGAACGAAUCAUUGAUCGAUAAACCUUUUGAUCAACAGGUUUGUCCUCCUUAGUGAGGUCAAGAUGUCCACUAGUAGGCAUGGGGGUUCUCGUACCUUUGCAUUCUUGCAUGUUGAACUUCCUGAUUAAGUCCUUGGUGUACUUGGUUUGAGAGAUAAAUGUACUUUCUCUCGAUUGUUUGAUUUGCAAUCUAAGGAAGAAUUUCAGCUCGCACAUCAAUGACAUCUCAUAUUUCUCUGACAUCAACUUUCCAAACUUUUCACUAAAAUGUGGGUUAGUAGAACCAAAGAUAAUAUCAUCCACAUAUAUUUGGCAUACAAAUAGUUCUCCAUUAACUCUUUUAGUGAAUAUAAGGUUUCAUCAAUUUUACCAAUCUCAAAACCCUUUUCAAUGAGAAACUUCAUUGGGCAUUUGUACCAAGCUCUAGGGGCUUGUUUAAGUCCAUAUAAAUCUUUACGAAGUUUGUAAAAUGAUUAGGUUUCUUAGGGUUCACAAUUCUGGGAGGUUGUUUAACAUAAACUUCCUCCUUAGUUUCACCAUUUAGAAAAGCACUUUUGAUAUCCAUUUGGUAAAUAUUAAUAUCAUGGUGAUUGGCAUAAGAGAGAAAUAUGUGAAUGGCUUCAAGUCUAGCAACGGGGGCAUAAGUCUCACCAUAGUCCAUACCUUCGACUUGCGUGUACCCUUGGGCUACGAGAUGUGCCUUGUUGCAUACAACUUGUCCAUCUACAUCUUGCUUGUUCCGAAACACCCAUAUUGUACCAAUUAUGUUUUUCUCGCCUUCGGGCUUUUCAACAAGUGUCCAUACUUGAUUCCUCUCAAAGUUGUGUAGCUCUUCAUGCAUGGCAUUCACCCAAUCCGGGUCUUGAAGGGAUUCUUCAACCUUCAAAGGUUCAAUGCUAGAGAUGAAAGAAUAAUGAUCACAAAAGUUAGCUAAACGAGAUUUAGAGCGAGUGAUUCUCCCGGUUUUUAUGUCACCGUAGAUUUGACUCAACGGAUGAUCUUUGUCCACUCUUGAUCUAACUCUUGACAGCUUCUUCUUGUUGGAUGGUGGAUCUUCUUCAUCAUCAUCAUCUUGCACGUUGUCGUUGACGUCAUCAUCUCCUUGAGAUUGUGGUGAGGAAGGUUGAGGUGGAUCAUCACGAUCUACUUCUUCCUCUUCUUCAACAUGCCGUGUACCGCUUGUGGAUGCUUCCAUGUCGUUUUGUGGUUCGCCUUGACGCAAAGUAGGAGCUUCGACUUGAGUUGAUGAAGCACUUUCCUUCACCUCCAUGGGACAAAUAUUGCCAAUAGAUAAAUCUUUGAUGGCUUCUGAAGGUUCCUUAUGUGCUACAUCAUUUGGCAAUUGUUCGACUUGCGAACAAUUAGUCUCAUAAAACUUCACAUGUAACGUCUCUUCUACUUUUUGAGUGAAGUUGUUGUAGACAUGGUAAGUGUGAGAGUUCGAUCCGUAACCGAGUAGGAAACCUUCAUAACAUUUAGGAGCAAAUUUAGAGCGACGAUGCUUAUCAAGAAUAUAGCACUUAGAGUCGAAUACCCGAAAGUAUGCAACUUUGGGUUUGUUACUAGUGAGUAGCUCAUAUGCCGUUUUACAGAGAAGCUUGUGUAGAUAGAGUCGGUUUAUGGCAUGACAAGCUGUUUCCACGGCUUCUGCCCAGAAGUGUCUUGGAGUCUUGUAGUCAUUAAGCAUCGUUCUGACCAUCUCUAUGAGAGUCCGAUUCUUCCUCUCAACAACUCCAUUUUCUUGAGGUGUGUACGUCAAAGAUAACUCAUGUGAGAUACCUACUUUGUCAAGAAAAGUAUCCACAUUAGUGUUCUUGAACUCCGUUCCAUUAUCGCUCUGAACUUUCUUGAUCUUCACUUCAAACUGAUUUUGAGCUUUCCGAGCAAAGUUCUUGAAGAUCUUUUGUACCUGCGAUUUAUCAUCAAGAAAGAAUACCCACGUAAAUCUGGAAAAAUCAUCAACAAUGACUAAGCCAUUAGAAUGUCCACCGAGGCUCUUGAAGAAUCGAGACCAAAGAGAUCCAUGUGAAGCAGCUUAAGAGGUCUUAUUGUAGUCAUGAUGUUCUUCAUGAGAUGACUUCCACCAACUUGAUUUCCUGCUUGACAAGCAUUACAAAUUUUAUCUUUGUCAAAGAUAGCAUCUUUAACACCAAGAAUAUGAUCACCCUUGAUAAGUUUGUCAAGAUUAUGCAUACCUACAUGUCCUAACCUUCUAUGCCAUAACCAACCUUUAGAAGAUUUAGCAAUAAGUCUUGUACAGGGUUUGGAUUUCUUAGUGAAAUCGACAAUGUAUAAAUCACCUCUAUAGAAACCAGUAAAGACCAUGUUAUGAUUGUCACUACGAAACACUUGGCAGUCAACUUUCAUAAAUAGCACAUUGAAACCAAAGUCUGCUAGUCUAGAUACGAAAAGUAGAUUGUAUCCAAGGGAUUCAACAAGCAUGACAUUUUGAAUGGAACUAUCAUGAGAUAUGGCCACUUUACCAAGACCAAGUACCUUAUCGUUGGAGUUGUCUCCAAAGGUCACAUACCUUCGAUGUCCACGGUUUCGUGUGAUCUCAUGGAACAUGUCUUUAUCUCCAGUCAUGUGAUCGAUGCAUUCACUGUCGAGAACCCACUCCUUUCCUCCGGCCAUGUAGUUUCUAAGGUUUGCCAUAAGACUAAGGUUCCUCAUGGUCUUCUCAUACUCAAUGUCAAACUCCUUGUCUUCAUUGUAGUAGUCGUGCUCCACAUUGUCAUUGUCACAAGAAAUAUCCUCGUCAUAACAAACAAGAAUUUCAUCAGAAUUUUUACUAUGACAAUGUUCAUAUUUAUGCAUGCGAAUGGCUUCAACAAUGAUAUUGUUAAUAGUAAAGACAUCUCCUUUAGCACACAUGAGGUCACGAAGCUCAAAUAGACAUUUAUCAAAAUUAGGAUCGGUUGGCUUCAUUUUAUGAAAGGCAAUGCAUUUGUGGACAAUGAUAUCACGAUUUUUCAAGGAAUAAUUUGGAUAUCUUUCCUCUAAAUCUUUCCACAAAGUGUGAGCACACUCAAAAUUUUCCAAUUGAUUAAGCACAUUCCUUGGCAGUCCUCUAAUGAUUAGAUUAACAGUGUUAAGAUUACCAAGCAUAUCAAUUUCAUCAUCAUGAGAAGGACGUAUGGGGUCAAUGGGAGGCCCAUAGGGACAUUCAACAUACUUGUGCAAAUGGAACUCAUCAAAUAUAUCAAGCAUUUCAUCUUUCCAUGGUCUACGAUACUCCCCAUCAAGAAUAGGCACUCUACAACUAAAGAUCCCGGAACUAGUCACAUUCAUCUUCCUCCAACAGCGAUUAAACCAAGGUUUUGGAGACCUUGCUCUGAUACCAAUUGAGGGAUCGAUAGAAGAUGUGUUUAGAGGGGGGUGAAUAGACUACUUGACAAGAUUAAAAUCCUAGCCUUUUCCCAAUUUUAUGGUUGGCACAUUUUAGCAAUUCUAACAAGUCUAGUAUACCCUACACAUGCUAGUUAACAUAUAUGGCAGCAGAAAAGUAAAGACUUUGCGCAUAUAAAGGAGUAGAGUUUAGGAGAUCAAAUGCAAAGAUGUUGACAUGGUGAUUUUUUGGAUGGUUUCGAUAGGUGGCGCUAUCGUACGUCCAUGUUAGUGGAGACUUGAACCCACGGAGGGUAACGGCUGCGAGAGUCCACGGAGGGCUUCACCCACAAGGGCUCCACGAAGAAGUGGCCUUGUCUAUUCCACCACGACUUUCGCCCACGAAGGACUAGCCUUACUCACGGUAGAUCUUCACAAAGUAGGCGAUCUCCUUGCCCUUACAAACAUCUUGGUUCAACUCCACAACACGAAAUAGGAGGCUCCCAAGCGACACCUAACCAAUCUAGGAGGCACCACCCUCCGAAAGGUAAUAGAUGUGGUAGAACGAUGAACUCCUUGAUCUUGUGCUUUUAAAGAUAGUCUCCUCAACACAAAAUCACUCUGUCACAGGAUAGGCAUGGGUAGGAGAGAUUGAUUUGGUGCAAAGCAACUUGGGGAGGCUAGAGAUCAAGUUUCAAAUGAUGGGAUUGGAAUAUCUUGGUCUCAACACAUGAGUAGGUGGCUCUCUCUCAGAAAAUGGAUAUGGCAAUGACGUGUGUGUUCUGAGUGCUUCCGCUACGAAUGAGAGGUAAGUGGAAGGGGUAUAUAUAGGCUGUCGCCAAAAUCUAACCGUUACACCUAAAGUGGCUAACUUGGUGACACCGAAGUCAUGAACUCGAUGGUACCGACUUGCACUAAAGGUAGCAACUUUUGAAUCUCGGUGGAACCGAUAUACACAACUCGGUGGCACCGAAAAGGUGGCUAACGGUCAGAUGACACAACUUGGUGACACCGAUACUCAAACUCGGAAUUUCUGAUUUUGUGUACCGAGGAAAUAGAAAGUUGGUCACCUGAACUCGGUAGCACCGAUAUGUUUUCGGUUAAACGAUUUGGUGGGUUUGGCUAGGGUUCUGUAUGGGAUGAAACUCGGUAGUGCCGAAUCUGAAAACUUGGUGGCACCGAAUUUGAGUGUGUGGUUUUGGGCAAAAUGGUUAUGUGCGAAAAAAUGACUGAGUAUUUUGGUGGCUAUCUGUGAUCACUUGAGCAACCAGUUCAUUUUAAUACCUCACCCCUUCCCAUCACAUGCAUGUUUUCCAUCUAUUUUUUUCUCCCAACCGAAUACUUUGUAAUUAGCACUCGAUGACUUCCUUCCGUAUCAUGUUCGUGGACUACAUUUAAUCACAAAAACAGACAUAUACCAAACAAAUUUAUGGACCGGUGUUGGAGACACACAUUGACACCACACACACCCCUUGAUGGAGGAAAGGGCACAUUGCUUCAAAUAUUCAUCGAAGAUAAAGAUGGAAGUCAUCAAACUCACGUUAGUUUUAUACCCUUUUAGUUUUUAUUUACUUCGUAUAUUAGCUUUAACCUGAGUCAAUACUUGUAAAGUUUAAGCAGGGUUUUUUAAAUCAUCUAAACUUUGAGUAUAAAAAAUAUAUAUAUGAUAUGAAAAUAUAUUGAAUGACGAUUUCAAUUGUAUUUGAUUUUUUAUAAACUUGGUCAAAGUUUUAAAAAUUUAAAUCAAGACAAAGCUAAAAUGUGAAGUCUCCCCUAACAAUAAAGCGCGCAGCGCUUCUGGCAUCCGUCGUCGGUCAUUUUGCAUAAAAGCCCUCGCAGUUUCAGGUAAUUAACCCGCAGUCCAAUUUUAAGUAAGAACGAACCGUUUUUUUGUCAUUUUGCAGAAAAGUCCUCACAAUUUUAGAUAAUCAACCCGCGGUCCAUCUUUUAGUCACAGCCGAACCUUUUUUUGCAUUUUUCAGAAAAAUCCUUGAUGUUUCACGUAAUUAACCCGCCGUCCCUAUUUAAGUCAGCCAAAACGUUUUUUUAUUUUAACAAAAAAAAACCUGACUUUUUAGUUAAUCAAUCCAUAUUUUAUUUAAAACAAAAUUAUUCAUAUCUUUUAAAACGUAACUUCGAUUUUAACAUGUUAUAUAUGAAAUUUGAUUGAAAAAAUGUGUAGAAUCUAAAUAGGAUGUUAUUUUUAGCUGUUGAAUACUUCUUAAAUAUUAUUUUUGGUGCAAACUUAAUCUGUAGUGCACGGUCCUUUUUUUCCUCUCUUUCCAGCGACCCUACGAAUUGCAAUAAAUAUCCAUUAAAUUAAAAUCAAAUUGACAGGAAAGAAAACAUCGUUAAUCACACAUGCACACCUUUAGAAAAUCUCGUGAGAAGAAACAACAUAUUUCUCAUCUUAUUCCGAGUAAUUAUACAUUUAAACACGUUUUCGUUGUGUGAGCACUGAGGCCAUCGUCGACAACACAAAUGUGAUGCCAUGUGAAAAUAUAUUGUGUUCAAAGCGUGUGUUAUUUUCUUUUUCGUUGCAACGCACGGGUUUUUUUGCUAGUAAAUAAACAUGGAUGUAGUACUCCUCAAAUCACUCCACCUCGCCAACAAUGGCCUCAACCCUGACCUAGGAAGUGUCACUGCGCCUCUUGCCGGCAGAGUUAACCACGUCAGCGAGACUACACCCACCUCCGCCGCCGCAUUUCUCCUCGUCCAACGAACCGCCCACCUCCGUCUCUCCCGCAUCCGCAACAGCCUCAACCGACGACGGGCCCUCGUCGUCGUCACGCACAGCUUCUGCCACCUUCCCUUUCUUACGCGUGAGGAGCAUCUGUUCAGCCACGAGGUCGAGUUCACUCCCAGAGCUCUUCCCCACCUGCAGGUCAGGGGCGGUGCUCCUCGUGGUGGCCGAGACAGAGACCGCCGGCGACUCCGCCGGGUCCACCAGGAACAUGUCCGGGUCGAAUUGAUCCUGGCUCGAGGAGGCGAAGCUGUGGAAGAACAACCCGUUGCCUGCCGCCGCCGAGGACGACGACGUCGACGACGCGAAGCAGUAGCUGGCCCCGGCCGCGCGCGCGUACAUCUGCUGCAUGGGCGUCGGCAUCCGGCCGAACGGCGGCGCCGCCGCGGCCGGGGCGAAGAAGGCGGCUCGGCCGCUGUAUCCGGCGAAGGAGCGGGGCGGUCCGGCCGCGAGUGCCAUCAUCAUCUGGGCGUUCCUUCUGGCGUGGAGCUCCGCGAGCAGCGCGUUGCGCUGGUUCCACGCCUCGUCCCUCUCCUGCGCCAUCCUGCGCGCGGCCGCGGCGAGCCUGCAGAUGGUCUCGUCCGCGUCGGCGGACACGGCACGCGUCUUGUGCAGCUCCAGCCUCGUGCAGUAGAGCUUCUCCUCCAGAGCGCUGCGCUCCUGCAUGCAGACGAAACAAAACGUUUGUUAUCACAUUUUCUUAGAAGUUUAGAACACGGCUUCACGGCGCACCCAUUUUCAUGUAUGGCCAAUUGGUCAUGCAUGUAGCAGAAUCACUUCCACACGAACUUGUUGUGCACAAAAAACAACAUGAACUGCAAUAUGCAUGCUCCAUCUGUCGAGAAUUCAUGCAGCAUGGAGGCACGAAGGGAGAGACUAACCUCUUCAUCUUGGGCGGCGAGCGGCGCCGAUUUACCUUUUCCCACAAGGCUCUGCUCCGCCCCGCUGUUCCCCAUGGCGAGACGCCUCCCUCCCCUGUUUCCUGGGACGAUCCACCGCGUUAUAUCGCCUGUCUCCCCAGAUGGCAGCAGCGCGCACCUUCCUUCGCCGGCGAAGGUGGGAUCGGACUGGGGGGGGGACAAGGAAUGUAUCAGCAUCAUGUAUGGAAAACGCGAUCGCAGGAAGGAAUGCGUAUAUCAGCCUUGAAGCCCCUGCCAUACUUGCAACGGAUGCGGAUGCGGAUCCCAUCCCGGCGACUGUUCGCCGUUGGCCUUCCUCCUCAUAACUUGGCCCCACCGCCGUGUACGGUGUACCAGCCUUGUCGUCUCCUCUCGCGUCCAUGGCUUCGAGGUUAAUUGCAGGGAAUUAUCACAUUUUUAUAACGAAUCAGUGUUAUUAGUUGUGUUUAUCGCAAAUCAGUACUCCGAGUUUACAGAGAUUUUACAGACAGGUACAUUUUGACCGAAGGAGUCCUCCUAACCAUCCAACCUUAAAUUGGUUUGCAAGCUUAAUUACGACUAUCAUUUUAAGGCCUAAGUGUUUUCAGGUGCGUGUCAUUUUUUUGCAAAAGGAAAAUCAUAGUUUUUAUUUAAUCUUGUAUGUAUCCUUGUUUACAAGAAAAAAAGGUUGGGCUGAGGAAACGUCGCGCCCCUAAACCGGAAUCCAAUACCGUGACGUGGUGUAUGCAACACGCACUCGCUAUCGCUGCGCUACAGCCAAUGAUGAAUCUAGCAUGAUAAUGAAGGGUAGGUUCAAAACAUUAAUUUAGUGAGCCUAAUUAGCAAAUACAUUGCAAUUGUUGCAUGUAAAGCAUAUCAAUACAAUUUGUAAAGUGGUAUAUUUAGCUGAAAUAGAAUUAUGAAGGGUAAGCUUAACCCUAUCGAAGCUCACUUAGUAGACUCGCCACUAGCUACAACAAGAUUUGCUUAAUUUGAAUCCGGAUUUCCUUUAUACUUUAUAUACAGUUUCGUCUUUUAUCAAAACAAAAUAAACAAGCGUCCGCAAGGGUCGGGAUUCAAUCCUGAGCCGAGGAGAUGAAACCGCAAUGUCGCUAUCGCCGGGCCACUCAAUCUUUCACGUAAAUUAAAGUGUACAGCUAUUUACACUAUGCCCUUCCGAUUUUGUGUAUAUACUUUUUUCCAUAUUUUUAUUAUCUUUUCCCAUACCAUGUGUAUUCUUUGGGCUGUAUACAUUGUCUUUAUUGUAUAUUAAAAAAAUAUACAUAUAUACACAUUGUAUUUUUAUAAAAAAAAGGCUAUCAUAUUUAAAAAAUAUAUUCACCUUAUAUUUAAAUAAAAUAAUUUUAUAUAGAAAAAUGUUCAAUAUAUAUACUAAAGGAUGUGACGAACAUUUGUUUUAUAUACGAUACACUUUUAUAUGAUGGAAUUUUUAAUGUAUGAUGCAAUGAACAUCUUUUUAAUUAUACGCUACUUUUUUAUAUGAUGAACUAUUUAAAAUGUUCAAUAAAAAUAAAAAAAGGUCAUCAUAUUUUUUAAAAGUGCUCAUCUUACGUUUAAAAAAGAUAAUUGUAUAUCAAAAAUAUACAACAUAUAUAUGCUAAAUGAUGUGACGAACAUUUGCUUCAUAUACGAUAUGGUUUUAUAUGAUUAAAUUUUUAUUAUAUGAUGCAAUGAACAUCCUUUUAAUUUUACCCUGUGCUUUUAUAUGAAGAAAUAUAAUAAAAAUGUUUGACCUAUAAAUAAAUAAUAUUUUUUAAUAUGUGAUUUAUAUAUAUAUACACACACAUAUAUAUACAUAUGUGUGUGUGGAUAAUUUUUCCAAUAUAUGAUACACACAAUGCGUACGGCCUGAAGAAUACCCAUAAUAUAAAAAAGAUAAGAAAAUCUAAAAAACCUAUAUACAAAAAAGACGGAACAGUCUAAGAUAUAAGGACAUGUACAAUGAUGCUACCAUAGGAGUGCCACAUAGGUUAAAUGAUGAGGUGAAGGAGAGAGAACUCGAAAAAAGGCUUUGACUUCUCUUAUUUAAGAGAAGACAAGAGGUUAUCUCUUAGUACAAUAUGUCUCACCAUGUUUUUAGGAAUAACUAAUUAUAAAAGAUAAGGCUAAGAAAUGAUUCAUUGUAAAAAAAAAUUUGUCAUCUCUAAAUUACAUGCAAGAUUUAAAAUAAGACUAUCUUAUCAACCAUUGUACAUGCCCUAAAGAGAUGUAUGCGUAGUAAUUGAUGUGAAAUAACUAGUGGCCGGAUGGUAGCAAGGUGCGGGGCGAGCGUCAUUUUCUGCUUUUUUUAUGGGACCUCCUAGAACUCACUUGACUGAGACAUAGAUUGGUCUCAGUCAGAUUACUAACUAGCAUCUUUUUUUGUCGUUAAGCUACCCUCUCCCCCUGGAGUAUCUGGGUUGUUGGACUGGGCUCAUAUGCUUGGUUAGGUCCCUUUGAACUUGUUUUUUAUAGAAAAAUGCUAACGUUCACACGUGUGGUACGAAACAACAUGGCGCAAACGCUUUUAUCAUCAUCCAUUUUAUUAUGUCAAAACAGAUGACAUUAACGAAUUUUUUUUGGUUUUGAUCUUAAAAGUAUUUUAUCUCCUAAUUAAAAAACUCAACUAAAAAUCAUUUUCACCAUUAAAUCCGUCUCGACGAGAUCUUCAAAACUAGAUCACAUGUUGAUAUGUUUUGAUGAAAAAACAAUUUGACCAAAAAUUGCCAUGAUGUUUACACAGUAGUUGCCAUAGUGUUUACUCUAAAGUUGCCGUAACAUGUUUUAUCUAUUUUUUCUUCUAGAUUUAAAGCUACCGUUAUAUUUUCAACUACUUUUUACGGUAAUUUUUAUUAAUUGACGAUGGCAAUUUUUAUCUCACGAGUCCAAUACAAGGUUAUUUUUCUGAAUAAUCAAUGAUCGUUCGAUGUAAGUUAUGUUAGAUGUGUAUAGCCCCUUUUCUGUAUAUCCCCAUUGUAUAAGGUUUUUUUAACCUUUUCCCACAUGUAUAUGUACUCGCCCUUGGCCCCAUGUGAAUGUUAGUUGCUCAUUCCUAAUGUGGUAUCAGAUGCUUAGGUUCUCUUCCCGCAUGUUGCAGCUUCGUGCUCUCCCCCUCCAUCGCCUGUGCUGCUGCUAGCUGCGAGCUAGCUGCUCCGGCCUCCCUGUAACAGCCUGAGACCGAUGCUCCUGUUGACACUCAAAAAGUGGCACAAAUCGUAAAAGUUACUUAAAUCUAUGUCAAGAUUAAUACAAACCUAUGAUUGGAAGUCACCAUGGGAUGGCUUUCUUCGAGAAGAUCAAGAUGGAUAUGAAGAUGAUCUAAAACGGAGCUCGGAUGCAAACGUUAUGACAAGUUCGGAGAUGCUCAUAUUGACACCAGAUUAAAGAAUGGCAUGAAACUCGAUUUAGAUCGAACGAUUAAUUAUGCGUCUCGUCGAAACGAUCGAUUUUGAUAUAAAGAUCAUUUCAAUCAGAGGUCGUAUGCAACCUAUGAAGCCAAAACAAGAUGAACAACAGAAGCUGCACAUGCAUUUCACAUCCACCGAGUUUUUUGACUCGGUGCCUCCGAGUUGACUUGGUAAUUACGAGAAAAAUCACUCGGGAAUUCCAAGUGAGAUGUAGAAGAUUACAGAAAGAUGGUCACGUUAACUCGGUGGAACCGAGAAAAAUCACUUGGUGGCUUCGAAUUGCUCCGAAAAAUUGCUAAAGUUUCCUGUCCGAGUUAGUUAGGGUUUUGGAUGGGAUUUUUAGCCCUUUUCUUGUAAAGGAAGUCCAGUCGCCUCAUAUAUAUGUGAGAGGUGACGUUCGAUUGGAUAACACACAAUCGAGCAAAUCAAUCUACUACUUUUUAUCCUAGUUUUUACAUCUCUCCCUUGUUCUUUCUCACUCGUUCUUCGCUCGUUCUUCGUGUUGGAGAGCCGCAAUCCUCGAGGCUCUAGGGGCAGGUGAACCAACCUAGGGCAGCCCAUAGCCGUCGUGCGUAUAGACGGGGUCCCUCCCGGGCAUAUGGGGUUUUGGGUCUUUAAAAGCGCCCACCGACUGUCUUGCGUAUAGUGUUGUCGGUCGGGUCUCCUUCGAAGUGAGCUGUGGUGCAUCACCCUCGGCGUUGGAGGUACACGGUGACGUGUUCGUGUGUCAACAGCUUUAGAAGAUUCCCCUUUUAUUCCGUUGCCACCCUGUGAUUUAAUUGUUUGUAGCAUUCAUCAUCGCAUCAUCCGCAUUGCAUCGGCACUCCGCUGCCGUCAAUUUUCAAAACUUGCAUCCGUUAUUAGUUGCUGGUUCUCUCCGUUUUCGUCGUUGACUGUUUUGAGACCAACCACACACGCACGCACCCGCGACAUGGAUAAAAUAGUUGUUUUUAAAAGUGUGUAUAAAAAUUUCUCGGAUUGGGUUAAAACUUGGCGUGCGGUCUUAUUAUAAUGUAGGUAGACCGCCUGCCAAAUUUCAUCGCAAUCAGAGUUCAUUUGAUACCCGUGCCGUGAUAUAUAUAGCGAGAUUAUAGCCGGUUUAAUAGUCAGACGUUUCGGUGUUUUAAAAAUCUGUUACGGGCCGCAUCAUUUUCCUCUCAUCCCUACAUAACCCAACUACACAGCCCACUAGACCCCCCAAUUCACUCCCUCCGUUUAUGGUCGUCGGACCGCGAUCAGACGGACGAGGUCCAUCCCACCAUAGACCAAACCCUAUAUAAAAACCACCCCAUGGGGAGAGCUCUCUCACUCCACUACGGUUUCCCCUAGACAAUUUGCAACCAUGCCCUAGAAAACCCCACUUGCUAGCUUCACCUCCUCUCUCCCCCGAAAUCCUACCCAGGGCUAAAUCUGGACCAUUGGAUCCCCAUCCAAUGGCCCAAAAAUCGCCCAGUCUCCCACCUACGGGACACGUCCGCCACCAACCGGACACGUCUGGGCGACAAGAGCCUCCCACGCAGCCUCUCCCUCUUGUACCCCACCUUGCUUUCCCCAUGGAACCAGCCAGCCAGUGCUCAUGUUUCUCCUCGGAUCCACCGCCGUCGUCCACCUCGCGCCACCAACUGCCCAAACUCCGAGACCCCACGAUCCCCGCAAGCUGCAGUGCCCUCUCAAGCAGGGAGCAGCAGCACGCGAGCAGCAGCAUCCGCCCAUGGAAGUCGCGAUGCAGGUCUAGUGCCUCGCCCGCGCCUCCCCUGUUUCUCCCUCUGUUCUGCUGCUCCUCAGAUUCCUCAUGUAACUCCUUCCUCUCUCUGUGUCCCUUUGGGCACAAGCAGGAGCACCCGAGCCAAGCCAUCCAUGGAGAUUCGUCGCCGCUGAAGCCGUUCGCCGCCGCGAAGACCCAGGCCCCGUCACAACCACGUCGAGAUGAUGUCCCCUGCAGCGCCAUGAGCCACCUGCAGACCUUCUCCCGUGGGCAACCUCGCCCGUCUCAGCCAUCCUCGCCUCCAAUUGGAGCUCCCUCCCUUGGGGAAUGGGUUCCGUGCCUCCGGAUGUGGCGGACCCCCCGCUUCCCCGCCGGCGCCCGUCCCCGACAGCCGCUCGCCCCGGACCUCCUCAAUGAGCAUCUUUGCCGCGUUUUUCUGCUCCUGUGUUGGUAAGACCCCCGUGCACUCGUGGAGCAGAGAACCCGCUGCUAUGUUAGUAUUGGUGGAAAUACCCCUGCUCAGCUAUCACAUGAACGAGCAUAGCGGAGCUGGUCAACCGCGAUUUUUGCUCAUGUUCCUUUUAUUGGUGCACAUCUACACCCUGUCGUAGUUCUGAUUCAUCUAGAAUAAAGUUCCUGUUAUAUCAAAAAUUGUGUGUAGCCGAGCUGGCCAGUGCGUUCAGACUCCACCAAGGGAUCUUGGGUUUGAAACUCAUGCACCCCUAUUUUGCCAUGUUCCUAUUUUAUUUUUGCACACACACAACGUUUGGGCUACCUAUUCGACUAGGCUUGCCUAGUAGAGUGCUUUCGGCUCAUGUAGUUUAUAUUUUUUUGUCCCAGCCACCUCAAUAUUAUUUUUUGCAUGCAUUUGGUAUCCAUGUCAUAUGAUCUUGUGUUGCUCGUAUCUUUUAGACCGUAACUUCGUUGGAGAUAAGCUAUAUAUGUAAACCGAUUAGAAUAACGUGUAGAUUCACGUGCUCCACUUUAUUUUUCCGUUUAACAAACAUAAAAUAUGAAGUUACACACACACAACGUUUGGGCUACGUAUUCGACUAGGCUUGCCUAGUAAAGUGCUUUCGGCCCAUGUAGUUUAUAUUUUUUUGGUCCCAGCCACCUCAAUAUUAUUUUUUGCAUGCAUUUGACAUCCAUGUCAUAUGAUCUUGUGUUGCUCGUAUCUUUUAGACCGUAACUUCGUUGGAGAUGAGCUAUAUAUGUAAACCGACUAGAAUAACGUGUAGAUUCACGUGCUCCACUUUAUUUUUCCGUUUAACAAACAUAAAAUAUGUUUAGGUAAGAUCUGGACAGAUUUCGAAAUUAACGUGCGCGGUCAUUUUGGAAAUGCUAUAUGAUGUUUCUGGCCUCAUUUAAAACAUAAAACAUGUUCAAGUCAGAUCUGGAUAAAUUUUGAAGUUAACGUGUGGGGUCGUUUCAGAAAUUCUAUAUGAUGUUUCCGGCCUCAUUUAAAAUGCCUAGAUAGGUAGUUUAUUUUUGUUUCACCUCUUGCCAUGCUUAAACAACAUUUAAUAUUGUCAUGUACCUAAACGAGAGUUAACUAAAUAAUUUGGAGGUGGAGUUUCGUCAAUAUGCAACCCAUUGCAUAUUGAGCUUCACUUAAUGUGUAGUGUUUGAUUGUUGUGAUUGCCAUGUCAUGUCUUGCAUAAUUGAAACCGACCAUGCAGCAUAUUUGGUUGUGCAUCAUAUCGUGCAUGUGUCGUGUUGAUUCUUGUUUCUGGUUUGCUUCUUCUCACUAGAGUUCUGCAAGCGUGUCGGAAUGUGAGGAUCCGUUCGACUACGUUGGUUUGUAUGCUUCACGUAUUCGUUCUUCUUCCAAGCGGGAUCAUAGGCAAGAUGACCAUUUCCUUAGAUACCAUUACUAUCACUGCCAUGCUAGUUGUAUCGUUUGUUUCGCUGUGUCUCGCUGCCUACCACAUGUUUAUUAAGCCUCCCAACAUUGCCAUGAAAAGCCUCUAACCUUUCCACAACCCAGCAAACCACUGUUUGGCUAUGUUACCGCUUGCUCAACCUUCUUAUAGCGUUGCUAGUUGCAAGUGCAGUUGCUUCCAUGUUCCAACAUGGUUCUUCGUUAAAUCACCAUAUUUUCUAAUUAAUUUAAUGCACCUAUAUAGUUGGUAAAAGGUGGAAGGCUUGGCUUUCUAGCCUGGUGUUUUAUUCCAUCUUUUCCACCUUAGUUUCGGCUAUUGUGUUAUGUUCCAUAAAUGAGCGCUCCAAACAUGCUUGGGGUUGUUAUGGGGACCCCCUAGAUUUUUGUUUUGGAAUAAAACUCGUCUGGCAAGACCCAACAUUGGUACUAUAUUUGUCCAACGUAAUAAUACUGAACACCGUUAAAAAGCAUAGGGUAUCAUGAACCCGAGGAGUAAUUUGACAUAAUACAGGGGGGCUAGUGCUGCUGGUGUUGGCCCAAACUAGAGCCGUUUGUGGGGCCAACCUGGGGCAACUCGGGAGAUUUCUAUCAGGCCACCGUACGUUGUGCUUAUCCGGCGUGUCUUGAGACCGAGAUACGCGCCUUCUAUCGGGAUCAUCACACGCCCGGCGGCCUUGCUUGACUUGUUUUACUUUUCUUGAGUGUCUUGUGCAUCGGGAUUUCGGUCAUGCUUUCGGCUAUUCCAGAGUUGAAGUUUUCCACUAAGGGAUCCGAGGAGAUCACGAGAUUCAUGGUCGAGGGUUUCUAUGCAUCUUGUGGUAGUUUGUGAUGGACUAGUUGGAGCACCCCUUCAGGAUUAAAUCUUUCGGAAAGCCAUGCCCGUGGUUAUGUGGCAAACUUGGAAACUUUGUUUAACAUCAUGUUCUAGAUAAUUUGCAGUAAACUUAAUUACAACUUGCCAACUGUUUGCGUAACCGUGAUUGUCUCUUCUCGUGAGUUCUUCAUCCGGAAGAUGACACGGUGGGGUUAUGUGUGAUGUAAGUAGGUGUUCACAAUCAUUCAUUUGAUCAUUAUUAGUUCACGUACGUUAUGCGUAGAUCACCCCCUUUUAUUCUUGUACUCGUAAGUUAGCCACUCAAAUAAAUGCUUAGUUGCUUGUUGUAGCCUCACCACUUAACCAUACCUCACCCAUUAAGUUUUGCUAGUCUUGAUACCUUUGGAAAUGAGAUUGCUGAGUCCCUGUGGCUCACAGACUACUACAACACCAGUUGCAGGUAUGGGUAAAGAGAUACUUUGAGGUGAGUACGAUGAUUGUUCUUUUGGAGUUUCUUCUUCUUCUUCUUCAUCGAUCUAGGUUGGGUUCCAAGCCGGUAGCCUAGGAUAGCAAGGAUAGACGUUGUGUUGGAAAUAUGCCUUAGAGGCAAUAAUAAAUUAGUUAUUAUUAUAUUUCUUUGUUCAUGAUAAUCGUUUAUUAUCCAUGCUAUAAUUGUAUUGAUUGGAAACACAAUACUUGUGUGGAUACAUAGACAAAACAUUGUCCCUAGUAAGCCUCUAGUUGACUAGCUCGUUGAUCAAAGAUGGUCAAGGUUUCCUGACCAUAGGCAAGUGUUGUCACUUGAUAACGGGACCACAUCAUUAGGAGAAUCAUGCGAUGGACUAGACCCAAACUAAAUGAAGGUAGCAUGUUGAUCGUGUCAUUUUGUUUCUACUGUUUUUUUGCGUGUCAAGUAUUUAUUCCUAUGACCAUGAGAUUAUAUAACUCACUGGCACCGGAGGAAUGCCUUGUGUGUAUCAAACGUCACAACGUAACUGGGUGGCUAUAAAGAUGCUCUACAGGUAUCUCCGAAGGUGUCCGUUGAGUUAGUAUGGAUCAAGACUGGGAUUUGUCACUCCGUGUGACGGAGAGGUAUCUCGGGGCCCACUCGGUAAUACAACAUCACACACAAGCCUUGCAAGCAAUGUGACUUAGUGUAAGUCAUGGGAUCUUGUAUUACGGAACGAGUAAAGAGACUUGUCGGUAAACGAGAUUAAAAUAGGUAUGCGGAUAAUGACGAUCGAAUCUCGGGCAAAUAACAUACCGAAGGACAAAGGGAAUGACAUACGGGAUUAUAUGAAUCCUUGGCACUGAGGUUCAAUCGAUAAGAUCUUCGUAGAAUAUGUAGGAUCCAAUAUGGGCAUCCAGGUCCCGCUAUUGGAUAUUGACCGAGGAGUCCCUCGGGUCAUGUCUACAUAGUUCUCGAACCC